Molecule: long non-coding RNA, 76677 nt
Filed under: Capsicum annuum
Lineage: Eukaryota; Viridiplantae; Streptophyta; Magnoliopsida; Solanales; Solanaceae
Description: long non-coding RNA (CANN_LNC005223)
Source: RNAcentral
AACUAAUAUGAAUACCCAAUAAGAGUCGCAGAAAUGCAAAAAAAAAACAAAUAGGAGGUUCAUUGUCGCCAAGCACUUAAAGUAUGUAAAUCCAAGAAAAAAUCAUAACCACAUAGUGUAAAAGCAACUAAUGCAUCGUUGAAGAAUACUAACCGUUUUACAGCACAAUAACAAAAGAAGAUUGAACUUUCAAGAGUAGAUAAGAAGUCGUACGAGCAAACAAGAAUUAGCGAUCUCAUAGUAGAAGCAGCAAGCAAAAUUUAGCACUAAGUGUAGUGUAGAAUAUUGUAGAAGUCAGAGUAGGAGUGUAUGAUAAGAGGUCUGACAAUUGAAAGAGAAGGAUGUUUAUAUAGCAAAAGAGUAGAGAAAAUAAAAGGAAAGAGAAUAUUUGCAAAUUCAAUCAAAUCAACUAAAACAAAUAAACUGCACAUAUUUUACCUGAAUAAACAAGUCAAAAUAUUAUUCGAUCUUCAAGAGGCCGUAAAAAUAGGGAUACCAAUGGAUACUUCCCAUGUAAAGAAACAUAAUCACAUCAAAUUAGCACAGAAUAGAUCCAAUUAUAAUUGGGGGUAAACAUCUAUUUGGAUCAAAAAUCCACAUGCUUAAAAAGCAAAAAACAUAAUACACCCAAAGAACUACUAUACUACUGUAAUUACGCUAGUAAUCCAAUCAACUGGCUCAAAUUUUUGGAGUCAACAUUAUGACAGUACACAAUAAAAUUGCAUUCCUAAAAUAAAAUCUAGGAUUGACGAAAAAUUCAAAAUUAGUCAUUUUACAUAAAACAAAUGUGAAACCAGAAAAACAGACCAACAAUAUAACCACAAAUUUUAAGUUUAAAGAAAAGGGGAGCAGAAUAGAAUUAUAAUUGCAUGUAAAAAAUUAACUAUGAAAUUCAACCUAGGAUGGGUUCCUAAGAACCCAUCAUUUUUUCGGUGAGAUGUGGUGGCAGUGUCAUGGGAUGCAUGGAGACACAGCAACGGCGGCUGCAAUAAGAAGGCGGGCCGGUUCGUCGGUAGCUGCUGGUUUGCAUGGCUGGUUUAAGGCGGACACGUCAGUGGCUGGAGCAGAGCUCUUUGGUGGCUUUUGAUGCAGGCAACGGCGAUAGUGAGGUCCGACUAUCGUUAACAGUGCUUCGCCGGUCAUCACAUCUGGUGAAGCAGCAAUGAUGAGAGGCAGCAUUGAUCGAAGGUACGGUAGGAUGGCUGGCUCGCUGGUGAGCUACCAUUAUUUUUCCCAGCUGUGGAGAUGCAUCGGAUCUGGGCGACUAUGGCACUGGGCCUUCAUCGGUGUCGGCUGGUGUUGUUGCCCAUUUAACGGUGCUUAGUCGUCGGAGAGAAAAAUUGAGCAGAGGGGGUUUGGGUUGUGGGCGAACGCCGGUGGCGGAUGGACGGUGGCAGUUGGUGAGUUCUAGAAAGAAGGAGGAGAGAUAGAGAGAGAAAGUGGGGAUGGUGUGCGGUUGAUUUGGUGGAAUGAGUCUAGGGUUAGGGUUUUGAUUUUUUAAAAGGAAAGAAGGAGAUCGUUUGAUCUCAGUCGUUGGAUCAGUUUUGAUCGAAGGCUGAUAUUUAAUGGUUGAGGAAUUGGUCAAAAUUUAAAAAUAAUUUAAAAUUAAGUCCUAAAUUGACUAUAAUUGUAAUAAAUGGCUGAAAUUGGAAUGUCUUGGGUAAAAAAUGGACUAAAAGAUAAAUAAAUCAGGAAAAUUAAUUUAACUUUAGGCUGUUAUUUAAAUAAUAGUAGGGAUAAUAAUAGUAAAUAAUAUAUAAUAAUAAUAAUAAAUAAUAAAUAAUACUAAUAUUAAUAAUAAUAAAUGUUAUAAAAAAUGAUGUAUUUGGAAAUUGAGAGUAUGCCUAUUUAUGAAAAUAAUUAUCUAAAAUUAUGUCGAGAAAUAUUAUAUUUAAAUUAAUGAAUGAUACUGUAAGGUGGUAAAAUAAUUUGUAUAUUUUAAAAUCGUGAAUGGACACAUCAAAAUCUGUUUGACACAAGAAAACUGUGUAAAAGUAUCAACAUUUAAAAUUGGUAAAUUUUGUUAAAAUAACAUCCUAAAAUAAGUAUCAGGAGGUACAAAAUUAGGUGUUAAUAGCUGCCCCUUCGUUUCUUGGGAAUGAUAAAAGAAUUGUCAAGCAACAAAAGUUGAUGUGGUAGCCAAUUUUAUCCGACCGAGGAAGAUUCUUUGGAGUUAAAACAAUAGGAGGUGAUUUUAAAAAUAAUAUGGCUGAGACUUCGAUUUCAAGUCGCCUACAUAUCUCUGGUUUUAUGAGAAUCAGGCCGUUUGUAGUUCUAGAUUUAGGAAUGAACAAUAUUUCUAAAGAAUGUCAAUGAUAAAGGAUGGGCAUUCAAUAAAGGUGUUGUAGGUCGGUCAAUGAGACGGAAUUGAAUGGGAUUUGGAAUAGUGGCGUAUGGAGAAGUUUGAAAAUAUUGAGGUAGGUGAGGUGAUGGAUAAAUAGAUGGAGUAAUAUUUUAGAAACAAAAACUAAAAUUGUCUUUGUUUGUUAUUCCUUCUUUGUUACCUGCAUAUUUACACCGUACUAAAUAAAAAAGGUUAGACAUGUAAGAAAUAAACAUUUGAUAAAUAUAAAGUAAAGGUGGAGACAAGAAAGAUAUCUGUUGUAUUGUGGGAUCAGCGAUUUGGCUUCUCAAUGUACUGUGGAAUCAUGGGAUCAGUUGUUUGUCUUCUCAUUGUGGAGUAAUCUGUACCUAUUAGUCCUAUCACUCUUAGCUCAAUUGGAUAAAAUGGUUAGCAUGGAUAUAUAUGUAUGUAUAGAAGAUUUGAUCAAUAUAGUGAAAACAACCAAAACAAUAAUGAUAAGAAGAGAUAAGAAAGUGUAUCUGUCAUGAGAGAGUAAUGCUUUGUUCAUAUAAAAAUUUAAAGAGGUCGUGCUUAAUCCACACUAUAUCUAGUAAACCAAUAGCAUUUAAUAACACUGAGGCAGUUAUGCUUAGCAUGUUCAGCAGUAGAAAAUAAUAUUCAUUUUUUAGUAACCCAAUUGACUUUCAGAGGACAAUGCUUAGCCUCAGGCAGUUUCUCAAAUUUACAAAACAAUGCUUAGCUUCGAAUAAUUUCUCGAGAGAGGGUAAUGCUUAACCCAACUAAAUUUCAAGGACUAUGCUUAGCCUCAUUCAGUUUCUCAAAAAACAGUAGUGCUUAACCCACUUAACUUUCCAAGGACAAUGCUUAGACUUAGAGAGUUUUUGAUAGAGUAGUGCUUAACUCCAUCAAAUUUCUAAAACAAUGCUUAGUUCGGAUGAUUUCAUGAGAGAGAAGUGGUGCUUAACCCGACUAACUUUCAAGACAAUGUUUAGCCUUAGUCAGUUUCUCGAAAAAGGGCAGUGCUUAAACCACUUAAAUUUCUAAGGACAGUGCUUAGCCUUAGAGAGUUUUUGAUAGAGUAGUGCUUAACUCUAUCAAGUUUCCUAAAAAAUGAUUAGUUUGGAUGAUUUCUCGAGAGAGGGUAGUGCUUAACCCAACUAACUUUCAAGGACAAUGCUUAGCCUCAGUCAGUUUCUCGAAAAAGGGUAGUGCUUAACCCACUUAACUUUCCAAGGAAAAUGCUUAGCCUUAGAGAUUUUUUGACAGAGUCGUUCUUAACUCCAUCAAAUUUCUGAAACAAUGCUUAGCUUUGGAUGAUUUCUCGAGAGAGAGCAGUGCUUAACCCAACUAACUUUCAAGGACAAUGCUUAGCCUCAGUCAGUUUCUUGAAAGAGGGUAGUGCUUAACCCACUUAACUUUCGACGGACAAUGCUUAGCCUUAGAGAGUUUAUGAUAGAGUCGUGCUGAACUCCAUCGAAUUUUCAAAACAAUGCUUAGCUUUGGACAAUUUCUCGAGAGAAGGUAAUGCUUAACCCAACUAACUUUCAAGGACAAUGCUUAGCCUCAGUCAGUUUCUCGAAAGAGGGUAGUGCUAAACCCACUUAACCUUCCAAGGACAAUGCUUAGCCUUAGGGAGUUCUUGAUAGAAUCAUUCUUAACUACAUCGAAUUUCCAAAAUAAUGUUUAGUUCAAAUAAACUUAUUGAGAGAGGGUAGUACUUAACCCAAUUAACUUUUCAAGAACAAUGCUUAGCCUCAAGAAGUUUAUCUCGAGAGGGUAGUGAUUAACCCACUCAGAACAUAGGAUGAUAAUAAUUAACCUUAUAUUUUGUGAUGGUGUAUGAAAUGCUUGAGAUUUUUACCCGUCACUCUAUACCUACACUCAAAGAAAUAUUGUUAGUUUUAAAAAAGGAAAAAGAUUGAUUCGUGUCUCUGUCAAUUCCUUUGCCCAGGUCCUGAAUCCAUUGUCUUUAUAUCGCUUUCUUGAGAUGCAAUCCUUGAUGAAAAUUUGAGGAUCCUCAAAAAUUUCUGCCCCGGUUUCAUGGCCUCAAUCUUUCUAGCCUUGAAUUUGUUAAAAUGUUUCUUGAUAGAAUUUUUGAGACCCUCUCAAAAAUUCUUCCCCAGUUACAUGUCUCGUCCGUCUUAAACUUGUAGAAUCAUAGAAUUUUUGAAAUCCUUUCAAAAAUUUUGCCCCAGUUACUUGCUUCAGGAAAAUAUGAAAGUUUCAUUGUGAUGAGACCGAACUCAAUAGGAGCGCCUGCGUAUCCCUCUUAAAUGGGAAUCAAGUCAAAUGUAGUUCAAAGUACAUAGGAGAAAUUCGUAUUGUUCCAAGCAUGUGUAAAGAUUAUAGUAACCCAAGUACUUGAGAUACUGAAAUGAGAAGACGACGUGAUAUCCCUUCCUUAAUGUUAGAGACGCCAGUUCUUAAUCAACAUCAAGAUAUGGCCCCAUCACAUUUAUCGCUUUGGUAUCAAUCAGUGCUUGAAUUUUGUCCUUUAAAACACGCCAUUCUUCAGUGGUGUAGCUUGUCAUCCUUGAAUGAUAAGCACAAACUUUGAAAUAAUCAAUCCAUUUAGCAUAUGUAUUCAUUACAAUUGCAGAAAUUGAAGUAAUGUAGCCAUCAACCCUUAAUCUCUCAUAAAGUUGGUCUAUAGGCUCAGCCAAAGGAGUGUACUGUCUUGAUAAUUUUUUUAAAGCUUGGCUUAAGGUAUGAUAAAUUGAUUGGGUCGUAGAUUUGUUGGUGCAUAAGCUAAUGGUUGUUAGAAAGUAGUUGAAAGAAUUUGUGAGCACGCAGGUAGUGCGAGAUAGUUGGUAGGACUAUAAGAUAGUAUGGGGUAAUUCUAUGUCGUUGCGGGGAAUGAAGGUGCUUGAUAUAUGGGUGUUUGGUAUUGAAGCGGAGGAGGUGGUGUUUGGUUUUUGGGAUUUUGAGUAGUCAAGAUAGUAUUUACUUCCUUCAUGUUAUUAUUCUCAUCAGCCUGUAAAGUCUUAAUCGCUUGCAGUGCCUCCAAAUUCGUUAUCAUGCCAUUUUAAUGACUUCUUCAAUUCUCUCGCCCAAUUUGAUGAUGUCAACAAGCUUUUGAUCCUCUAUAAGAAUCAUCCUUUCAUAAUAUUGUGGCUCUUGGGAACGUAUGAAAAAUUCUUUCAUUUGACCUUCCUCUAAAGGAGGAUGCACCUUACAAGCUUCACGUAUCCACCUCAAUCCAUAUACUCAACACGAUUUUGUAGGUUUCUUCUUUAACUUCUGAAUGUAGAACGAAUCAGGCACAUUCUAAAUACUAAACCCAAAUCUUUCUAUAAAAGCCGAGGCUAUGUCGAUCCAUUUCGACCAUUUUGUUGCAUCUUGUGGACAUACCAUGACAAAGCAUCUUCAGUGAGACUUUUAUGAAUAAUUUCCUAAGAAUCUACUCGUUUUUUCCAACUCUAACUAGCUUGUAGUAGUAUAGUUUCAAAUGGACUUUCAAAUCUCCAGUCCCAUUGUACAUUUCAAAUUUAGAAGGUUUGUAACUCCUGGCAGUUCAACGUCAGGGUGCACGCAUGGGUCCUCAUAACUUAGCCCUUUCAACUCUUUAUUACCUUCAAGUUGUUCCAAUCUUUCAACCACGGAUUGCAUAAGGGCAGCAUUUUCUAAAGGUUUGGAUUUAUAUUGGUGGUAGGUAAAUAGGGUCGUUUUGUCAUAACUCAAAUGUAAAGUAUGGCUGCUUGGAUCAUGAAAAUGAGGCAUAUUUGUGGUAAAUGUUGGCGGCAUAUUAUGGACAUAUGAUGAUAUUUGCAAAUUUAGUAGGACUGGAUAUGUGUGGUAUUGUGGUAGACAAGAAUGUGGAUAUGAGUUAUGUUUAGGAAGCGUGUAUAUGUGAUUUGAAUUGUUUGGGGGUUGUGAAAUAGGAAGUGAUGGUAAGGGAUGACUUGUGAAGAUGGGAUGGGAUUUAAUAGUUGUGUUACCCUCAAUUUGUGGUUUGAGAGGAGAAUUCAAAGCAAGGGGUAGAUUAGAUAAGUUACGGGCUUGUGACAAUUUCCUUUGUAGUUGAAGGAUUCUUUGCUCUAUUUGUAAGAUCAUCUCAUUAUGCUCAUUUCUAGCAUCGUUGUUAUCACCCAUUUCAUUGUUUUGGUGACUAAGCUUUAAGAGAAGGAGACUGAGCCUUGAUGGGCGAGAUAAUGCACGAAUCAAUCCUUUGGGCGUGAAAGAAAAAAUAAAUAAAAUUAAAAUUAAAAAGAAGAAAGAAAAAAAAGUUAAGUUAGUAAGAUAUGUAGUGAAAAAAUAAACAUGUUAAUAUGCCAGAAUAAAAUGUUUUAUAAUGUACGGAGCCUUAUUAAGUCCGAAGUAGGUCGAGAAUGACAAAUAUAUAUGACUUACGAUAUUAUAAUCCAAGUCUGACGUAAAAGAAGUUUGGAAUUAGAAAUUCCUAACCACAUUUGCUCAAUCUUUGGUUCAGAUUACUUUAUCACGAUCACAAGAAGCAUAGCAUGAAUAUUUAUUGUUGGUAGGAUAAGGCGAGAAUAAAGAAAUAAAUUUCAAAUAGUGUUUCUCCUUGGGCGAGAAGAAAAAUGAUGAAAUUUUUUUGCAUGUUUGUCAUAACGCAGAUUUUCAAAUGAAUCGAUGUUUGAAAAAUAGCAAUUUGAACAAAACAGGAGCGAGUGUACCUAGUAAGAGAAGAGAUAGUAUGAUAAUAUGAGUCAUUUUGUCAAAGAGGACUUUAGGACGAAUGGGUGGGUUGGGAUUUAAGCUUUAGAAGUGAAUUGAUGUUAAAAGACAAAAGAUAAAUGAUAAACAAGACUUAGGUACUGUGCAUACUUGGAGUUGAUGGGGUGAACAAGUAAAUAAUGAUAAGAUAUUAAAAGAUGCACGUAGAAUGUUGAAGGCAUUUUAUUUUGAAAAGAGGGGAAGAUUGAAGAUUUAAAAAUUUUGACGUAUUUUGUUUGAAAUAUUUUGAGAAUUUGAAAGAUUGUAAAAGGUCGUUGGAAUAAAAAGCUUCUAAUUCUCACCCUUAUGACAUUAUGGAAUGGUGGUGAAAGAUAUAGAGAAUAUGAUUUGAUAGAAAAAACUACUGGACUGAUCACAUUUUCAAAAAUUAGGACGUUUUGUAAAAUGGAGGGAAAAGAAAGACCGUAUCCUUAUAAAGGAUUGCCUACAUAUCUUGUUGGAACAAGAAUCAGGUCAGACGUAAAUCAAAAUUUUGAGAGUUAUAUAAGUUGAAUAACAAGUGAGGAUGUUGGAGGAUUUUGAAUAGGCCCUAAGAGUGUAUUGUAGGGUCCUAACAUUGUACGAACUUUAAGAGUAAAGAGCUCUAAAGUGAGGCACACUAAAUGUAAGGAGUGACUAAGGCAAUAACGGAAACAACAAGAUAAGUAGGAUGUCAAUACAUACAUAGAAAUGCAGAACAUAACAAAUAAUUUUGAGUCCCUUUGAGGUCGUGAACCUCUUUGAACUUUGAAUGAGACUAACAUUCAAUGCGUCAAGGAUGCCAAGGCAUCCUACGUUGAAUGGGACGCAUAUUCCUUAAUAAAAGAAAUAUGUAGCUAAAACCUAAAGGGCAAGAGUGGGUUAAUGACAUAGUUCCCUCGAGUGGACAACUCGAGAGUGGGAAAACUUGUGGUUGUCAACGCACGGCUGAUUGACCGAUCCAUAAGGCAUUUCUCGAAGGGUGUUUUAGGAAAGAACGUCCGUGCAACCACGCAAUUGUUCGUACAAAAAAAAUAAAGGAGAUCCCAAGUGGAGGAAAGUAUGAGCGGGAUACCAAUUAUAUAAAGCAGUAAGAAUAGCACAUAGAAACAUAUAAUAACAUGCUUUAGUAAUAAAAAAAAUAAACAUUAAAACACAUAUCCAAUAAAAGAAAAGUAGACAUGGAGAAAUAUUAAUAACACAAAAAGGAAAAAGGAGAAAGGACUAAUAAAUCAUGAUGUAAGUAAACGAUAAAAGAAGAACAUAUAAAAAAUAAAUUAAGAUGUCAAACAUCAUCAAAACAAAAGGAGAGAAUCCUACAUGAAGCACAAAUUUGUAAUGGUUAGAACUUAAAAUCCCCAGCAGAGUCGCCAUUCUGUCGCGCCCCAUUUUCCUUGCAAAAAGCGAGAUUCGACGUGACCACUCUUUUUGGAAUUAUUUCGAGAGGAGAGUGAAGAGUCGCCACCUAACUAAUUAAGGUGUGUUAGGGCACCAGUCUAAGCCAACUACAAACCUUUUUUAUUGUUUUGUCUUAGCUCACAAGAAAUUUGGUUAAGAGUUCAAAUUACAUCAAAAGAAAGUGUUAGGCACCUUUUGAGGUCCACGAAGGUAGUUUCCGACCGAAUUCAUAUUUUACGUGGGUAUUCUACGUGCUCAAAUAAGGUCGCUUAUUUCAUUAUUAAUUGAUGCUAACUAAGUGAUAAAAUAGUAAAUAAGUAAACAUGUUAUUUAAUUAUUUUUAAUUAAUAAUUAUCUAUGUGAUAAAAAUCAAUUAAACAUAGGAGAAGAAAGAAAUGACAUGAGUAUAUUAAAUUAAGAAACAUAAACUAUCCUAAAAAAAAUAUAGUAUUAAUUGAAUUAAUAAAGUAAACCAUUUUCAAUUUGAAUAAAGUUGUUUGAAGAAAAUGUUUGUCACUUUUAUAGAAAAGAUGUCACGAUAUUAUUAAUCACGCCCUUUUACCUUGGCAACAAUUUUGAUUGGAGAUCGGUCUUAAGUAAAAAUAAUAAUAAUAUAAUUUUUAAAAGACAAGUGAAAAUUUGAGUAUCAAAAUAUAACACAUAAAAAUAUUUAUAUAUGUAUAAAUAUACACAUAUUCAAAAAAAACAUUGGUUAGUGGUAUUCCCGAGGACGCGUCGGCUUGCUUUUAAAAUAUGAGAAUUAAAAAUCGUAAUUCUUUUUACUUUCCCGCCAACUAUAAGUUAGGAGAUAGUGUAUAUGUAAUUAAUAAUUUUUAAAAGACAUUGUCCAAUUCAAGUUGUAAAAAGCCAGAAAAAAAGAAUUAAACCAAAAUGUUAGCAAUUAAUGUUGUGUUUUAAAAAUGUUUGCAUAAACAAAGUAGGAAAAUUAGUUAAUAUGCUGAAAAUAUUAUUUGAAGACUGAAAAUUAACAUAUAAUUGUUGAGAAUGUGAUUUAAAAUGCGAAAAUGUCAUUUGUUAUAUGUCAAAGUUAUGCCAAAAGUAAAUAAAUUUGUUGUAACCUAAGUUGACAUAUUCAAACGUGAUUUAACGAGGCAAAAUUAAUUAAACUCCUAAAAGUAUGAUUUAUAAGAGAUUAAAAUAAAUCCUAAAUUAGGUUUGCCUAAGUGAUUUGCAUAAUACGUAAAGCACAUAAAUCCCUUCCCCCAAAACAGUCCCAUAAAUAUUAUUACAACAUAUCCUUUGUACAAUAAUCCUCACAGGCCAAUAUUAAAUGAAAUAAAAAAAAAAAAUACGAAGAGCUAGAUUGGAUAGCUCUUAACGACUACAUGCCAACUCUGUCUCGUCUAAAUACUUGUCCUUAACCUGUGAUAACAAAGAAAUAACCAAAACACAUUCCGAAUCUAGAAUACCUUUAGUGACACAUAACCAACCUUUGAUGCUGUCGAGAUCCUGGGGAUCCCAGGCAGGCUCAUGCCAAAGAAGCUAUGUGACGUGUAAAUAAUAUUUCAGAGUCACGUACAACAAGCAUGCUAAUGGAAAAGAACAUUUAGAAAAAGAAAAUAUGUCACAACUAAUAUGAAUACCCAAUAAGAGUCACGGAAAUACAAAAAAAAAAUAGGAGGUUCAUGUCGUCAAGCAUUUAAAGUAUGCAAAUCCAAGCAAAAAUCAAAACCACAUAGUAUAAAAGGAACUAAUGCAUCGUUGAAGAAAACUAACCGCUUUACAGCACAAUUACAAAAGAAGAUUGAACUUUCAAGAGUAGAUAAGAAGUCGUACGAGCAAACAAGAAUUAGCGAUCUCAAAGUAGAAGCAGCAAGCAAAAUUUAGCACUAAGUGUAGUGUAGAAUAGGGUAGAAGUCAGAGUACGAGUGUAAGAUAAGAGGUCUGACAAUUGAAAGAGAGGAUAUUUAUAUAGCAAAGGAGUAGAGAAAAUAAAAAGACAGAGAAUAUUUGCAAAUUCAAUCAAAUCAAUUAAAGAAAAAUAAACAGCUCCUAUUUACCUAAAUAAACAAGUCAGAAUAUUAUUUGAUCUUCAAGAGGCCAUCACUAGGUUUAGUGUAGAAGUGUAAGAUAAGAGGUCUGACAAUUGAAAGAGAGGAUAUUUAUAUAGCAAAAGUGUAGAGAAAAUAAAAGGAAAGAGAGUAUUUGCAAAUUCAAUCAAAUCAAUUAAAAAAACAUAAACAACUCCUAUUUACCUUAAUAAACAAGUCAGAAUAUUAUUUGAUCUUCAAGAGGCCAUAAAAAUAGGGAUACCAAUGGAUACUUCCCAUGUUAAGAAACGUAAUCACAUCAAAUUAGCACAGAAUAGAUCCAAUUAUAAUUGGGGGUAAACAUCUAUUUGUAUCAAAACUCCACAUGCUUAGCAAGCAAAAAUCACAAUACACCCAAAGAACUACUAUACUGUUGUAAUUGCGCUAGUAAUCCAAUUAACCGGUUCAAAUUUUCGGAGUCAAAAUUAUGACAGUAGACAAUGAAAUUGCAUUCCUAAAAUGAAAUCUAGGAUUAAUGAAAAAUUCAAAAUUUGUCAUUUUACAUAAAACAAACGUGAAACCAGAAAAACAGACCAACAAUAAAACCAUAAAUUUUAAGUUUAAAGAAAAGAGUAGCAGAAGAGAAUUAUAAUUGCAUGUAAAAAAUUAAAUACGAAAUCCAACCUAGGAUGGGUUCCUAAGAACCCAUCAUUUUUUCGAUGAGUUGUGGUGGCAGUGUCAUGGGAUGCACAGAGAGACAGCAAUGGUGGCUACAAUGAGAACGAAGGUUGGUUCAUGGGUAGCCGCUGGUUUGCAUGGCUGGUUUGAGGUGCCACGGCGACGGCUGGAGCUACGGAGCUCGGUUUUGAUGUCUUUUGAUACGAGCAGCGGCAAUGGUGAGAUCCGGCUAUCAUUAACAGUUCUUUACUGGUCAUCACCUACGAUGAAGCAGCAAUGAUGGGAGGCGACGCUGAUCGGAGGUGCAGUGGGACGUUCGGCUCACUGGUAAGCUGCCGUUAUUUAUUUCAGCGAUGGAGAUGUACCGGAUCUGGGCGACGAUGGCGCUGGGCCUUCACCAGUGGCGGCUAGUGUUAUUGCCUGUUCAACAAUGCUUAACCGUCAGAGAGAAUAAUAGAGGAGAGGGGGUUCGAGCUGUGGGCGGUCACCGGUGGCGGCUGGUGAGUUCUAGAGAGAAGGAGGAGCGAUAGAGAGAGAAAGUGGAGGUGGUGUUCGGUUAAUUUGGUGGAAUGAAUCUAGGGUUAGGGUUUUGAUUUUUUAAAAGAAAAGAAAGAGAUCCUUUGAUCUCAUUGGAUCAGUUUUGAUCGACAACUAGAUUUAGAGGUUGAGGAAUUGGUCAAAAUUUAAAAAUAAUUUAAAAUUAAGUCUUAAAUUGGCUAUAAUUAUAAUAAAUUGGCUGAAAUUGUAGUGUCUUGGGUAAAAAAAAUGGACUAAAAUAUAAAUAAAUUAUGCAAAUUAAUUUAAAUUUAGAUUGUUAUUUAAAUAAUAGUAGGGAUAAUAAUAGUAAAUAAUAUAUAUAAAAAAAAUAAAUAAUACUAAUACAAAUAAUAAUAAUAAUAAUAAUAAAUGUUAUAAAAAAUGAUGUAUUUGAAAAUUGAGAGUAUGCUUAUUUAUGAAAAGAACUAUAAAAAAUUAUGUCGAGAGAUAUUAUAUUUAAAUUAAUGAAUGAUGCUGUAAGGUGGUAAAAUAAUUUAUAUAUUUUAAAAUCGUAAAUGGCCACGUCAAAAUCUUUUUAAUGCAAGAAAACUGUGUAAAAAUAUCAACAUUUAAAAAUGGUAAUUUUUGCUAAAACAACUGCCUAAAAUGGGCAUCGGGAGGUACAAAAUUAGGUAUCAACAAUCCUUCAAUUCUCUCGAGUUUAAAGAAUGCGUUAAUUUAUUCAAUUAUUCUCUCAUGUGGGUUGAUUCCGUUAAGGCAUCAACCCUUAACCCAAAGGUUAAAGCCCUUAGAUCCCUUAUAAACCUUUUCUUUUCCCAACAAACACUUUUCUAUUCAAUUAAGUGAGGUUCUUGGUCUCAUCCUUCAAGUAUGCAACCAAAAAAAGUCUAUUGUGAAGAAGGGUUUAUACAACUUAAGUUAACCAUGGAAAUCAAGUGAUUUCACAACCCCAAUCAGCUUUUCACAUCAAGGCUCCCAUAGCCCUAGUUAUAGGAGCUUAGUCACACAUCUCCAUAGAAGAAGAAGAAGAAGAAGAAGUCAUUAUGUUUCUCAUAAAUAAAUUUAGGAAUUACUUACAAAAAUCACAAGAUUUAAAAAAUAGGCAUAAAAUAAUUAGAUCCACAAUUCUAGGUUGAUUCUUAGAGAAUACUAUGUUACAAUAAUGUUCAAAGUUUGAAAUAUGGUCCAGAAUCCCUAAAUUUAAACCUAAACUGGGUAUUUUAUAUGUUCCCAAGUGUAGAAUAUUUUAAAUCUAAACUAAAAAAAAAUUGCAUCCAAGUUAGCGGUCAGGACGAUGGCCCGUCGGAAGCUUGACGGCCCGUCGAAUGAACCAUCGCAAUCGGUCCCAAAAUGGCAUCUUCUAUUAAGGGUCGACGGUUAGGUUGGUGGACCGUUGCUGGCCCGGUGGUCCGUCGCAGGAGCCAUCACCUGACCUGCUAAAAGUUCACGUUCUAUUUCAGCCUGACGGACAGUUUGGCGGCCCGUCGGGUGUUCGACGUUCCGCCACUUGGACUGUCGCAAAGAUCAUUCUUUUGUUUCUCUCUGUUUUACUCUGACGACCACCCUGGUGGUCCGUUACAUGGAUGACAGUUCGCCAGUUGGACUGUCAGUGCUCUUUUCCUGCUAUUUUUUUAAGUUUUUCCUCCUUCUAACUCUUUGAAUUGAAAACACUAAAAUUCAGUAUUAAAUACAACAUUUGUUGCUUGAAAACAUACAAUUAUCCCAUAAAAAAGAUGUAAAAUAUUUCAUUAAAAGACAAAACAUCAACACCCUCAAUGUAAGACAAUUGUUUGUCCUCAAGCAACUCAGCACCAAUUUGCAUAUAUGAACAAUACAAUGACAGACAAUAAACUAUUUAACUGGAUUUAACACAACCAUUCAUUUGCCAUCCCACUCUUAUGGGCUCAUCACAUCAGGAUCUAUAAUCGGCAUUGCUUCAAUACUUAGCACACACACAAAAUCAUGGAUAUCAUAUCCUACAGAGACCAGCAAAACUAAGUGUAACUCAAGUUACCCUCACAGCGAAUAAAUUCCACCACUCAUUGUAUCUUAUGGACACAAUCAAGACUCUCACACUCAACAAAGAAGUUACAAGCAUAACAUAUAUACCCAUAGGCUUGCCCUUAUCAUAUAUUUCUUCCUUAUGGUUGAUUCGCAAGGAUCAAGAAGGUCUUUUUCAGGCUUGUAAUGAGGCUCAGGGGUUAGGUGAUGACAAAUUUUUGUGAAAAGUGACUCAAAUUUCAGACUUAACUCUCUUUACCCUUGAAUUCUACUCACCAAGGCUACUGUUUUACCAGCUCACCUAUAAUCCAUAUUAUUCACUCACACUUUACCAUAUUUUCCCCUUUUUUCUCCUCUUUUAUAUAUAUAUAUAUAUAUAUAUAUAUAUAUAUAUAUAUAGAGAGAGAGAGAGAGAGAGAGAGAGAGAUUAAGCAUCAGCCACCCUCAACUUAUGCUAAUGCAGUUAUUUAAGGUGCACAAUACCUUGAAUAGAUCAGGGCCAAAUGUUUUAAACUAAUACUAAACCAACUUUUCGUUAGCCGGCUAACAUCUUGACAAUAGCCACCCUCAACUUAGGGGUUUUGCCUAAGUUAAGGUGCACAAUGUCUAAUAUUGGACCAGGGCCAGAGUUAGGUGUUAACAACCUAAAGAGGGUUAAUUAGAGUUAUUGGUGAUGAUGAAAACUAAUACAAGCUCAAAAAGGGUUCAAAAAUGGAAAAAAAAAAUUGGUGGGGUUAAAUUAUUUUGGCUAAAUGGAUUAAAUGUACAAGGAGGCCUGCUAUCCUAUCCUAUUGAAUCAACCACAAGACAACAUCAAUGAAUUGGGCAAGUUCUAGGUAUUACACUUAUGCAAUAACUAAUACAAAUAUUUGCACACACAGGCAAUUGAGUCAAACUCAUUCUACUGCUCUUAGGAUUUCUAUCACAUGAUUGUGCAUAUCUUACAUAUUAAUGCCAAUUACCUAAUCACUAAAGGUUACUCACAUAUGCUAAAUGACAAGAGUAAAUAAUCGUACAAACAUAUUCAUAGUCUUAUGCCAGUAUCAUUCAUCAUUCAUAUACACAACAAGAUGCUAAAAUAACAGACACUUUACUUUAUAAAUAAACAUUAACAAAUAGAUAUUUACAUCAUAACCUAAGAAAAGAAAAUGCAAUCCUAGACAUACAAGUUCUGCUAGAUAGAACAUGGGAGAAAAAAAACAUCGGCAACAAAAAAACCUACAUAAAAUAAAUGUGUUCUCCUUAAUGCAUAAAAUUAAAGUACAAAGAAUGGGAAAUACUUGUAAAGCCUCUUAUUUAGAUGAGGCAUCAGUGAAGUGUGGUGAGGCUCCAGUGGCCUCACCUGCAGCAAUGUUGACCCCUAUGGUGGUAGGGGAACUUACAAUCUCUUUCUCCAGAACUGGAGGUAUCGCAUCCCGAGCUGGGUCUGAACUAGGCCCCCUUGCUGGGGCAGAACUGGUAGAUACUCCAGCAGCUUCAUCUUCUGCCUUCUUUCUUCUUCUUUCUUCAUCUCUCCUUAACCCUUUCGCAGCUUUUCUUAUAUCAUAAUCUUCCUUCUCUUCCAGUGUCAUUGUCUCUCUUCUUCUUCUUCGGGAAGCUUUACUGUUCGUGUUUUUGCCUGCACUUUCAUCCACCUUCUUUUCUUUAUCUUUAAAUGGCUUUCUCAUCAAGUCGCUAAUACCUUCAUCAUCAUCGCUUAUCACCAAAGUGGGAUUAAAGACCGAAUAUUGUGACUGUUUGUUCUUUAACUUUACUAUGUCCGCCUGUUCUUGUUUAAAUUCUUCCAUAAACUUUGCAAAAUCUGGAAUGGAUAUCGCAUCCAGCCUUUUGUUGAUUCUCUAUUCCAUGUGAUCCAUUAAAGCUGAAUGUGUUGAAAUGGAUGGGUUACUUCAGCCACAAUUUGAUCAACAAACGGCUUAAAUUUUAAAGCCCAUGUGUCUAGCUAUUUCUUAAACUUCUUUUGCAGCUUAACCGACUUGGUAAAAUUUUCCUGCAUUAACCUGUACUCCGAAUAAUCUGUCCCACCCAUUGGUGGCAUAGACUCCAAUCCUACAGAUAUACUAGAUGGUACAUAAGUAGUGAUAGGUAAUGGAAUACCUGUUGGAAUGUCGAAAGUAUCGGGGGCUAGCGCUGACUGCGUUUGAUAGGCUGGAGGUUUAGUGAAUUAUAUCUCAAACUUUGAGUCAUCCUUUGAUUUCUUAAUUUCUUGCCUAUAUGUAGCCCGAACUGUAUUAUCAACUCCUCGAAUUAGUGGCACAUUAGCCUGUCUGCAUAGCUCCAUGAUAAAACACGGGAAUGGUAGUGCACUUUCCACCCUGUGUGCCCUCACGAACAUCUCAUCAGCAAUGAUUUAGACAAAAUUAAUCUUCAUCCCUGCAAUCAAACUAGCCACCAGUAUAUCCCUGUGGCUAUCCAAAUUAGCAUCCCCACCUGUUGGCAUCAAUCUUAACCAAAUAAUGGCCCACCAGAACUUAGCUUGGAAGCUAAGGGAGGACUUAGCAAUGCGCUCUCAAGGGUUUGCUGUCCAGGCGGGGUUGCAAUCAUCAGUCAGUAACCCAUACAACCACAGCUUCUGAGUCGAUACUGAAGUCAGACAAAACUCAAGAUUAGGAACAGCAGUCGGUGCCUCAUAGUCGUGUCCAAAUAUCAUUUUGUUGAUUGUUCUAACCGAUAUAUCAAUGUUAACCCCUCUUACUGGUACUGACUCUCUGUUUGAUAAGUCUGAAAUCUUCGUGCCCUUAGGAUAAUCUUUUUCUACCAAUGCCAAGUAAUUAGAAAUGAACUCUCUUACCAUAUUUGGUUGAUAAGAACCAAGAGGUUUGCUUAUCUAGGUCAACUCAUACUCAUUGAAAUGCCGCUCCAGUUCUGGAUAUUCGUGCAACUCACUUGUCACAAUCUGGUACUCCUCAGAGAUUGGCCUUUUGAUUGGCCUACUCGCUGUCGGUUCCAAUCCAUCAAGGAACUUAUCUUUUGACCUCUCAAUUUCCACCUGAGUGCCUCCCUCAUUUAAGGUUCUUUGAUCUUAACCACAGUUUCCUUCUCGAUUUCUGUCUCAGCAUUGCCAGUUUUUGCCUCUGCGGGGUUGGGGUUAGAUAUGUUAACCCCUUCCUCGUCUGGGCUCUAACUAGUACUACUAGUGCUGAUCUCACUCUCUUCUUCAAAUUGGGAGAGUGUGGAGAUUUCCCUAUCUUGUUGUUUGGUGUUGAAGGCAAGAUCUUCUUCACUCCUGGACGACUCACCUCUUCCUUGUGCUCUACCACCACCUCUAGUCAAAAGAAGUUUAAGUGCCAUAAUGCCUGAAAAAGGAACAAGGCAUCAGUUUGCAGGUCAAAAUAGAUCGAAAAUAGUGAACAUAUGACUUGACGGUUACUCAGACAGCCCAUCGAUGAUGCGAUGGUCCGCCGGACUGGCCAUCAAGAAUUAACCAGUAUGUUCUGAUUUUUCAGAGCCUUGUGACGGUCGAACUGGUGGUCCGUCAAGUUAUUGACGGUCUGUCAAGUUGUUCGUCGCACCUUUCCAGUGAACAUCAAUAUUAGCAUCCAUGUGACAGUCUACUCGGUGGUGCAUCACAGGAGCGACGGUCCACCAAGGUGACCGUCAGAAACCCUUUUCAGUUCAAGACUUCACUUUGGCAUUUUUUCGAACACCUGGUAUGCAUUCUUACAUUCUUGACGCAAUCAAUGGCAUGAACUUGGUGUUUAAGCACAAUUUUUCUUCCACUUUCAAUACAUGGGUUACUCAGACUUCACCCAGCGCAAUGCAUACCAUGGGUUUGAUUUUUAGAUUACAAUCAGAACAAAAUAAGAAGAAGAUAAAAUUUUCCUCCCACAGACAAUAAUUCACUUACUUAAUGUUGAACAAUUUAAAUAACAAAGACAAAGGUUGUGAUCAUACCUUGAUGGUACAAUAACUUCACUCUACUUACUUGCAACUUCAGAAAAUAAAUAAAAAGUUAAGGCCUUUGUUAGUGAUUGAUACUUUUGUUGUUAUGAGAAGAAGGGGGGAAGGUCCUGUUUAAAUAGGAAAGAAAAAUAAUAGGGAGAGUCCUAAAGGGGAAUAACUGACUCUAGAUACUUUGAACACAAAGGAAGUUAAGCAGUUCUAGGAUUUGAAAAGGUAGCAACGUAUGUAACCACCUCUUCUUUUCAGUUUAAAGACAUUUGGGUUGGUUUCAUGCAAUUUAAAUAGUAUUUAAAAUCAUCCCGACCCAACCCGUGCUUAGGGUUGCAUUGACGAUCUACUUGACAGUCCGUAAGGUGUUCGACGGUCCGUCUGGUUGGCCAUCGAAGCUUACCAGAAUCUAGUAACUUAUACCUUGCUGCAAUGGCUUAUGCGAUGGUCCGUCAACCUACCCGUCAGUCUGUUCUAAUGACCUCGAGUUUCCAUCUCUGUUUGACGGAGGGAGUGAUGGUCCGUUGGGCUAGCGAAGGUCCACCGGCUUGGCCAUCAAGCCUUAUCCAGAAUGAUCAUUUUUUAUCAUGGCUUUGACGGUCUUAAUGAUGGUCCAUCGGGACCUUGACAGUCAGUCGGUCUUCCCGUCAACCCCUUUUCAACUAUAGAACUCCUUUCUUUCUGCAUUUUCAAUCCUGCAAACUUCACAAAUACAUCAAAUUGCACAAGAACAACAAAUAAAUUCUAACAAUGAUUACAACAACACUUUAUGGGUUACCUCCUACUAGCGCCUCAUUUAAUUCCACGGCAUGACUCAGUUAUCUCGAUUACUCAGACUUCAUCGAGAUAGAUGGUAGCUAUACACCUUAUCGAGUCCAUUGGACCGAUAUACAACUUCACUCAUUGCCCGUUAACUUUGAAGACACUUCCGUCCUUAUUUUCAAGUUCAACUACUCCAGAUGAGUAGACUUGGUUAACUUUGAAUGGACCAGACCAUUUUGAUUUAAGUUUACCUCAAAACAGCUUCAAUCUAGAGUUGAAGAGUAGUACCCAAUCACCUUUAUGAAAGUCUCGCUUUGCAAUCCUCCGGUCAUGGUACCUCUUCAUCUUCUCCUUGUAUAGGUUUGCUCUUUCAUAUGCUCCAAGAUGAAACUCAUCCAUCUCAUUUAGAUGACCCAAUCUCAACUUUGUUACCUCAUUCCAGUUCAAGUUCAGCUUCCUAAGUGCCCACAGCGCCUUAUGCUCUAAUUUAAUCGGCAAAUGGCAUGCCUUGCCAUAAACCAAUUGGUACGAUGACAUGCUGAUAGGUGUAUUGAAAGUUGUUCUAUCUGCCCACAAGGCAUCAUCAAGCUUCCUAGACCAAUCUUGUCUACUUGCAUUCACCGUUUGACCAAGAAUGGCUUUGAUCUCUCUAUUUGAAAUCUCUACUUUCCCUCUAGUUUGUGGGAGGUAUGGAGUUUCCACCUUAUGCUACUUAACACCGUACAUCGCCAAGGCAGGCCUAAAUACUCGAUUACAAAAAUAUGAUCCCCCGUUGCUUAUGAUGGUUGUGGCACCCCAAAACGAGAGAAUAUAUUCCUUUUAAGGAAUGCAACAACUAUUUUUCCUUCAUUAUCGGCCAAGGCAACAGCCUCAACCCAUUUAGAUACAUAAUCAAAGGCAACCAGAAUAUAUUUCAUCCCAUAUGAGCUCACGAAGGGUCCCAUGAAGUCGAUGCUCUAGAUGUCAAACAACUCCACUUCCAUCCUUUUUGUCAAAGGCAUAUCAUGGUGCUUUGAGAUUGACCCUUGUCUUUGGCAUUGGUCAUAUCUCCGAACGAACUCAUGAGCAUCUUUGAAUAAAGUCGGCCAAUAGUAACCACUUUGCAAUACUUUCCUAGCAGUUUGGUCACCUACAAAGUGACCCCCAAUCGGAGAAGCAUGACAAGCUUCCAAAAUAUUCAGCAUGUCCACUUCUUGGAUACACUUCUUUAUAAUAUUAUCUGCACAAUGCUGAAAUAAUACGGCUCAUCCCAGAAGUAGUGUGUAAUAUCGUGAAGAAAUAUUUUUUUUUGGUAAAAAAAAUAUUCUCUGGAAUAUCUCCCUCACCACAUAGUUUGCAAAGUCUGCAUACCACAACACUGUCUCUAACACAGCAACCAAGAUUUACUCGUAUGGAAAUGCAUCAUCAAUUUAUAGCUCAUCCUUGGGUGCUUAACCUCCCUCCUGUCUGGACAAGUGGUCUGCGACUUGAUUCUCGCAUCCCUUCCUAUCUUUGACUUCAAAGUCAAAUUCUUGGAGAAGCAAUACCCAUCUGAUUAAUCUCGGCGUAGCAUCAUUUGGCCAUCAAAUAUCUCAAGGCGGCGUGGUCUGUGUGAACCACCACCUUGAUUGCCAAUAGGUAAGCCCAGAACUUCUCAAAGGCAUAGACAACUGCAAGGAGUUCCUAUUCGGUAACAAUGUAGUUCUUUUGAGCUCCAUUUAAGGCCUUGCUUGCAUAAUAAAUGGGAUGAAACAACUUAUCCAUAUUUUGGCCAAGUACAACCCCAAGCGCCACUCCGCUUGCAUCGCACAUAAUCUCAAAUGGAUUUGACCAAUCUGGAGCAAUGAUAAUAGGAGCAUCAACCAAUUUCCCUUUAAGGCAUUUAAAUGCCUUCAAGAAUUUGCCAUAAAAUAUAAACUUGGCCUCCUUCUACAAAACUUUGAAAUGUAGGUUUGAAAUUUUUGAGAAGUCUUUUAUGAAUUGCCGAUAGAAAACCGCAUGACCAAGAAAACUACUCACUCUCUUUACUGAAAUAGGAGGUAGUAGCUUCUCAAUAACCUCGACCUUAGCUCGGUCGACUUCAAUCCCCUUGGCAGAAAUUUUGUGACCAAGGACAAUACCCUCUUUCACCAUGAAGUGGCAUUUCUCCCAAUUAAGCACUAGAUUAAACUACCCGUACCGCUGCAAAGCUCUACUCAGAUUCACCAAACAAAGCUCAAAAGAAUCACCUACUACUGAGAAGUCAUCCAUAAACACCUCCAAGGUGUCUUCAACCAUAUCAGAAAAGAUAGAUAUUAUGCACCGUUGAAAGGUAGCGGGUGCAUUACACAAACCAAACGGCAUCCGUUUAAAAAAAAAAUACCAUACGGGCAAGUAAAGGUCAUCUUCUCCUGAUCCUCUAGGCUACAGAGAUCUGGUUAUAGCCCGAAUAUCCAUCCAAGAAAUAAUACCAACCUCUUCCCACAAACUGGUCAAGUAUUUGGUCCAUAAAAGAUAUUAGAAAGUGGUCCUUUAAAGUCCAUGAGUUGAGCUUACGAUAGUCCAUGCAAACUCUCUACCCAGUCACAGGUCUAAGAAGGAUCAACUCAUUUUUCUCGUUCGCUACCACAGUCAUGCCCCCCAAACUUGGAAACGCAUUUGACAAGACUUACCCAUUUACUAUCAGAAAUGAGGUAUACAACUUCUACAUCAAGCCAUUUGAUGAUUUCCUUCUUAACCACCUCUUGCAUAGGUGGGUUAAUAUGGCAUUGAUGCUUAAUGGUAGGAGUGCAAUCUUCCUCAAGCUGAAUUUUAUGCAAGCAAAUACCUGGAAGAAUGCUAAUAAUAUCCAUAAUAGUCCAUCCUAUCACCCUUUUGUACCUCUAGAGCACUGAGAUAAGUGCCUCUACUUGUUGUUCCCCCAUAUCUUCUGCAAUAAUCACAGGUAAAGUGUUUCCAUUGCCUAUAAACACAUAUCGUAGAUGGCCUAACAAUUCUUUCAACUCCAACACUGGUGGCUCUUCAAUAGAUGGCUUUGCCGGUAGUGUUGGGUGAUUUUUAAGAUCUAGAUCCAGCUUCUUAGAAGCAUAAGAGUAUGACCCCAUUCUAGUCAAGGCACACACAGUCUCCCCAUACUCUUUAAUGCCUUUGCUAUCGAAAUUCAUCAAGACUGUAGCCAAAGGCUCAACAGUAAAUUUAUCCUCUAUUGUCACUUCUUGAUCAUCCUCAUGAUAAACAUCAACAAUAGAUAACAUACUCAUUUCCUUAUGCUGCUUCAUAGAUUGAUACACAUCAAGCUGAACUACUUCAUUACUAAGCCUGAAUAAGAGCUCAUUAGCUCACAAGUCAAUAAGUACGCUUCCAGUUGGAAGAAAAGGUCGACCAAGAUUAUGGACACCUCUAAGUCCACCUCACAAUCCAGAAUAACAAAAUCUGCAGAGAAUAUAAAGUUGGCCACAUUCACUAGCAUAUCAUAUAAAAUACCCACUGGCCACUUUAUCGACCUGUCCACCAUCACUAGUCGCAUGUUUGUGGGUAUAAGAUCCCCCAAACCUAACUUUUUAUAAACAGCAAGCAGUAUCAGGUUAAUACUCGCUCCUAGAUUAUACAAGGCCUUAGCAAAAUCAAGAGACCCAAUAGUACAAGGAAUAGUGAAUGCUCCUGGGUUUGCUUUUUUUUGCACCAAAGACCUUAUUGAAAUAGCGCCACAGUGGUAAAGGUUUUCCACCGGUUCAUAGAUCACUUUUCUCUUCUUUAUCACUAAGUCUUUCAUAAACAUAGCAUACCUAGGCAUCUACUCUAAUGCCUCCACUAAAGGCACAUUCACUGUCAGCUGCUUCAGUAUCGCCAUGAAUUUACUAAACCUUGUAUCAUCAGCUUUCUUCUUCAAUCUAUAAGGAAAGGGAGGCGGUGGUUUUGGGAAAAUGGUAACCACUGCUUUCUUCUUCUUUUCUUUUUCUUCCUCUAACUCAUCAACCUACUGAUGGUUAGAUGUGCUCGCAUUACCAUCCAUCUUUUCAGACUCCACUAGAUGGGUUUCAUCAACUUCUACCUCUCCAUCGAUCAUAUCAUUGAUCACAGCCUUGCCUACAGAAGGGCCAGGUAAUAUUUUACCACUCCGAGUGGUAACUUCCAUGUAAGAGCUAUCGUUAUGAGGGUUCUACACUGUAUCGCAAGGCAAGGCACCAAUUUUUCUCUGAUUAAAUAAUGUCGAGAGUUAGAUCAUCUGCUGCUCCAACUACUUAAUAUAAGUUGAGUGCAAAUUUACUAGCUGGCUCAUAAAAGAUAAGUCACUCUUCAUCAUCUUCACUCUAGCAUUGGUAGCCUCAACUCCCUUUAAUAGUUUCUCCAACAUAUCCUCCAUGGAUAUCUUGCCUGAACUGGUAGCUGCAUUGUCCCGGUUUCCAAAAAGUACAUACAGUCCACACUUGUUAUUUUGGUUCUUCCAACUCCUUUGGUCCCUAUCUUUGUAACCAGCCUUAUUGUUAUAGUUUCGACCUUGAUUCCCUUGGAUAUUGCCUUACGAACCCCCUGAUUAUUUAGAUAGUUCACCUCCUCCUUAGAAUCAAGAUCAACUCUGCCUUGCGACCCAAUAACUUUUACCUUCUCAGUCUUCCCAGAUAAUAAGUAUUUAGUAAGCAGAUCUAUCUGUGUUUUCAUGUGUACCAUACCUUGGUCACACUCCUCAUAUUUCUGAAAUUGUUCCACUGACAUACCAUAAGACAUAGUAGGGCUUGCUACCACAGAAUCCCUGGUGUGCCAAGAUCUACUUAUCUUAGUCAACCGCUCCAAUAUAUCUGCAGCCUCAUUGAAUGUAAGCUCCAUGAAUACUCCUCUUGCUGUAUUGUCAACUGUUGGUUUAGUUAUAAAGUUCAGGGCUCUAUAGAAAGUCACCAUUAAAUGCUUGUCAGUCAUCUUGUUGUUGCGGCACUAUGUCAACUUUUUCUUGAAUCGCAUCCAAGUCUAAUGUAGUGCCUCAUUUGGUAAUUGUCUGAAGUUGCUGAUUUUAUCCCUCAACUGUAACAUCCUGGAGGGUGGAAAGAACCUUUCUAGGAAAUCUCCUUUCAAUUGCCUCCAAUUUUUAUAGAAUCAUGGGAAAACUCAUUCAACCACAUUGUUGCCUCCCCAGACAGAGACAGCGGAAACAAUCGAAGAUGAAUUACAUUUUGACCAACACCAAGGGUAUCAAAGGAUUUGCAAAUAUUGAUAAAAUUCACCAAGUGCAAGUUUGGUCAUCCCCUGGAAUUACUACAAACAACCCCUUAAGAUUAAGUAGUUGUAUCAUGGUGCUGGUUAUGUUGAACUUAACCCCAAGUAUCAGUGGAGGUGGAAUAAUCUUUUCUAUAGCACCAGCUUUAUCCAAGUCGUCCUUCUCCUCAUCAAGAUCAAAUUGCACAGCAUGUUGGUGGUUUGAUCUCCCUCAAGCUGCCCGGCUUCUAUUGGCAACCACCUCUACAUUCUCUGUACGCCUCCUAUUUGCUGGGUUAAUCAGAUCAUCAUCUCCUCAAUCUUUAUUAUCAGGAUUAUGGUCAUGAGCUGGUUAUCCAUUAUUUUGCAGAUUAACCUGUGCUCUAGCCAAGUUGGCUAGUCUCUCAGCUUCUUGUUAUUCUUCUAUUCUACCAAUUAGAUGCGGUUCAGGAUUGAAGAGUAAUAGCGGUUCUCCCAAACUUCUGGCACGCGGCAUAAUCAACAAUGAACCUGUAAUGAACCAAAAAAUACAAAUAAAAGUAAAAUUUAUGAAACUUGACCAAUGGUCAAUUAACAAUCACAAACUUAAUUGACAGUCGUAAUCCCCGGCAACAACGCCAAAAUUUGAUAGGCCCAAAUUACAGCUCUCUUACAAGAGAGUAAGCAAUCAUUGUUAAAAAUAUAACCCAACUAGGUCGGGGUCUAAUCUCAUAGGGAAUACUAUGUUCACUAAGUAUUGUGGUUAUUACUAGACUGUUGAUUAAAGGUUCCAAAUUAAAGAGGGUUUUGGUUUGUAAGUUUUAUCUUGUUAUUUGUAACAGAAAGUGUUUCUAUUAGUGAUUCUUAUUGCAAAUAUUAAUUCAAUGAGAGUAUACAACUAGAGUUACGGUUACCAAGAUGUACAGGCAUCUAGGGUUGUGAAUUAUUAUGAAUCUCUACUUAAUCACUUCAAUUGCAAGAGUUAUUGAAUCCUAUAAUCUACCUAUUUGUCUCUUAACCUAAAUGAUUAGAUUAUCGUUCAAUUCUCUUGAGCUUAAAGAAUGCAUUAAUUUUUCAAUUAUUCUCUCAUGUGGGUUGAUCCCGUUAAGGCAUCAACCCUUAACCCAAAGUUAAAUCCCUUAGAUCCCUUGUAAACCUAUUCUUUUCCUAACAAGCACUUUUCUAUUCAAACAAGUGAUGUUCUUGGGCUCACCCUUCAAGUUUGCAACCAAGAAAGGUCAUUAUUAUGAAGAAAGGUUUAUACAACUUCAGUUAACCAUGGAAAUCAAGUGUUUUCAGAACCCCAAUCAGCUUUUCACAUUAAGGCUCUCAUAACCCUAGUUAUGGAAGCUUAGCCACACAUCUCUAUAGAAGAAGAAGAAGAAGAAGAAGAAGAAGAAGAGUCAUUAUGUUUCUCAUAAAUAAAUUUAGGAAUUACUUACAAAAAUUACAUGAUUUGUUCUCAAAUCUUCAAAAGAAAAUAGGCAUAAAAUGAUUAGAUCCACAAUUCUAUCUUGAUUCUCAGAGAAUACUAUGUUACAAUUAUGUUCAAAGUCGGAAAUAUGGUCUAGAAUCCCUAAAUUAAACCUAAAUUGGGUAUUUUAUAUGUUCCCAGGUGUAGAGUAUAAAAAAUUUAAACUCAGAAAAAGCCGCGUCCAAGUUGACGGUCAGGACAAUGGCUCCUCGAAAGCUUGACGGUCCGUUGAAUGGACCGUCAUGAUCGGUACCAAAAUGGCAUCUUCUAUUAAGGGUCAACAAUUAGGUUGGUGGACCUUCACUAGCCUGGUGGUCUAUCACAUAAGCCGUCACUAGAUCAUCUGAAAGAUCAUAUUUUGUUUUAACCCGACGGCUAAUUUGGCGGCCCGUCGGAUGUUCGAUGGUCCACUACUUGGACCGUUGCAGAGAUCAGUCUUUUGGUCCUCUCUAUUUUACUCUGAUAACAACCCUGGCAGUCCGUCGCAUGGCUGACGAUCCGCCAAUUGGACCGUCAGUGCCCUUUUCCUGCUUUUUCCCAAGUUUUUCCUCUUGCUAACUCUUUGACCUAAAAACACUAAAAUCAAGUAUUAAAUACAUCUGGUGCUUUAAAACAUACAAUUAUCCCAUGAAAAAGAUGUAAAAUGUUCCGUCAAAAUCCGAAACAUCAAGGUUCCAUUAUUAUAUUCACUUGGGUGAUUCUCGUGAACCCACAAGGUUUUAAAUCAAAGCCAUAGCCACUAAGGCCUUGCCAUUUAUCCAUUAAAACCAUUUUAAAAUUUAGGUUCCAUUACCAUGUUAUACCAUGCAAUGUUUUCAAUAAAAGUUCAACUAUGUAUUUAAAGCAUUCUCAUAGGCAUUUUAAUAUACACGUUGAGGGCAUAUAGUUUCCAAAAUAAAAACCAAGUACCAAUUGACCAUUCCCAUGAAGCCACAUGUUCAAACCACAAUUAUAAUAUGAAAACCAUAAGUAAAAACAUUGAAAAACAUAAAUCAACCAUUAAUAACCAAAACCCCAACAUAUAAUUAAAAACCAAAUAAUACCCAUAAUUAAAUCAUGAAAACCAUUCAUUAAAACAUGAAUUUAGUUGAACUAAUAAUGAGGGAGGAGUAAAAUGCCUUAGAUACCAAAGAAGAUGGAGCGAAAUCACCCUUGAAAGCCCCAAUUGAUAUGCUUGAUGAAAACCCUAAGUGUUCUUGACCUUGAGGAUUUGAGAGUAUUUGGGAGUCUAUUUGAUGUGUUUUUGAUAGUUCGUGAUGCCCUAAAAAGGUUAUAAGAUAUGGGUUUUAAGUUGGUCAAAAGUGGAAAUAUCGAGAAUAUCGUCAACUUAAAAGUUAAAAAAUGCACGUAGGAGUGUUUGACUCCCCCUAACUCAUACACAAUCAUACGAGUGGUACACACUAGACAUACCCUAGACAGAAUGUUGGACUUCAACACUAUCCAAUGUAUGACCCCCAAGGAUCAACUCAUACUAAAUCAUACAAUAAGUACCCAUAACCCGUACCCUAAGCAGAAUACUCUAGGCUAGACAUAUUGAGCAACAUAUGAGUGGCUUACCUAAUUCGUACCAUCUCCAUAUGAGUCUUAUGAUUCCCUUUCAUAACUUAGAAAAAAUGGACACCAGAGCAUACUAAUUAUUAUAUGAGUUAAGGACCCUAAACCAUACAACAUCAUACAACAAGUACCCACAAGUGGUAUGAUGUCCAAAAGCUCAAACUCAAGAAAUUUUUUAGGGAUCAAAACCCAGGGUAUUUUAGAUUACUGGAUAUUAUAUUUGAAGAAGGUGAAGAUGUUGAGUACUAAUGACAAGAUAAUGCACUACAAAUGGCUGGUGUGUCAUAUUACAAAAGCUACAAAAGUAGCAGAAUGGGGAAAAAGGAUAGCCAUUUACAAACAUACAUUGAGUUUCACUACUAAGGCUUGGUGGUCCAUUGUUCAUUACCACAUAGUACCCAUAAAAGAUGAUAAGGCACUGAGUGCUAACAAUAAAGGGAUGGACAAGUGUAAUACCCCAAACUUUUCCUUAAGCCUAAUUUCAUCUCUAGAAGGUUAAGAAAUGACUUCCUAAGUGAGUAACAUUUCAACCAUAUAGAUUUUCCCUAAUUUUGACUUUUUAUCAUGUGAGAAAUUUAAUUAGCUUUCCAAUGAUAUAAGAUCCACCCAAAUCCAAUGACCGGGCAAGAAGUUAUGGCUAAUUUAAGUUCUAGUCAUAAGACACCAUCAUUUUAGUGUUUGGCGCGUCAUGUAGAGGGUCUAUUUAACAAUUUUCAAAUACCAGUGGAACUUUACGAUAGUGGCACGUCGCGGAGGACCCUAAUUUCCCAAUAGUCAAUUUUCAGUAGCCCAACGCGAUUGUGACACGUCGCGCUGAAGUUCCAGGUCCUAACCAGUGGGACAACACAAUGGCUUCACAUCGUGGUGACUCCCAGAUUCCCAUUUGUCAAUUUCCAGUAAGCCACCAUGAUAGUGUCGCGUCUCGAUGGCCCAUAAAGUCAGGUUUCUACUUCAAUUUUUCAGCUUCGUACAAAAGUUAAAAAGGGCACUUUAGACUUUUUCCAAGCCUCUUAAACCGUACAAACAUCAGAAUUAAGGUCACUACAAGCGUCAUAUGAGAUUUUUCUCAAGAUUUCCCUCAACCAAAAACCCUAAGCAUCCAAAUCCUCUUCCAAGAAUCUCAAGGGUUCACCAUUCAAAGUUCCCAAGUCAAAAGCCUCAAGAACCCUCAUUCAAGAGUACGAAUAGAGUCCCAAAAGCUAGAUUUCAUCCAAAGCUUCUAAUUCAAGAUUUAUGGUUUUACAUGUUUUCUGAUGAAAUUAAAGUAUGGGUUUAUAACCUAGGUUAUUAUUUCUUUAGUUUAUGAUGGUUUCAAUGCUUUAGAAAUUGAAGUACAUGAGUAUGUUGAGAUUGCAAUGCAUAGUGCUGAAAAUUUGCAGAUUUCUAUAUGAUUUAUAAAUCUUUAUGAUAUCUAGUAUACAUUUUAAUGCGUCUUAUCUUGAGAUUGAAUUAUGGGUCACUAAGCCCUAGUUGAGAUUUUAAUUUUAUGAACUUUUGUGCUAUAAGCACCUAUGAUUUGAGUAUUUUGUGAUUAUUGAGAAUGUUUUGACCUUGAUGGUCAUAGUAGCUUUGAAAUCCACUUUACUAAAUAAAAUUACAGAUUUUAUUAUUGGGUUCUUUAUGAACCAUGAGAUUACUUUAAAUUGUAUUUCCAUGAGAUGAACGUAGCUAACUAAAGGGAGUAAUAUUUAGCACCGAGCUGGGUAAGUUACUACGCUUUCAUACCACAGAACUACGUGCCACCGUAGGAUUGAGAUUUAUGGGCCCGAGGCCGAGAUAGUAAUUAUUAAGUUGAGGUUAUACUCUCUGGAAAAAGUAUGACGCCCCUCCCCAAUGUGAGGUUUUUUCCUUAGGAGGACAAAACAUUGGACUCCACGUAGCUCGCAUGGUUUAUGUCGGUUAAGAGAACCUCCCUUCUAGUAAAAGUAAAUAAUCAGCUUUUGAGUAUUUUUCCCUAAUUGUAAGAUUUUCUAAGUAUUUUUCUUAAAAUAUAUUUUUCCUUAAAGAGAGUAUUUUUCCCUACUAGUAAGAGUAAAUAAUCAAUUCCUAAAGUAAAGUAUGUUCCUUUGAGAUGAGUUAUUGUUCCCUAAAUGUAAAGGCUCACUGACAUAUCCAAAUAUUAUUUUUACUUUAGAUUUUAGUUUUAAAGUUACAGUCUUAGCUUCCAGAUAUAGAUUUCCAAAACAAGUAUUUUGACUCAUGAGAUACAUACUAUGCGUUCCAUUAUUCAUAAUAUAUGAGAUUUAUAUUUUUGAGUUACUCAAGCUAUAUGAGUCAGUUAUAUCAGCAUGCAUGAUUUUUAUAAAGGUUGAUGAUAUUAUUGUUUUAAUUAUUUCAUACACCCCCAUAUACUCAGUACAUCCUUAAAGUACUGAUCCAUAUAUACGUCUGUGUGCUACAUUGUCUCAUAAUGUAGGUUCAGGUGCUCAAUCCUAGCAACGACAGUAAUCUUCGAGCAUCUCAUCUACAUAUUUAUCCUUGGUGAUUCCUCACGGUUUGAUGACCUAUAUCUGCAUUUUUCCCGCUUUAAUAGUGUUUUAAGUAUUACUUUCAGACCAGUUCAAGUCAGUUGGGGGUCUGUCCCAAUGGCUUUUCAGUUUGAGUAGUAGAGGCUUUGUCAGACUAGACUAUUAGUUUUGUUUUAGAAUUUUCAGUAUUUGAUAUUCAGAAUAUGUUUUCCAGUUAUUUCAGUUUAGAUUUAAUGUGAUACAGCGUUAUUGCUUGAUUAUCCAUCUUAAAGUAAGUCUUAGAUGUAGUAGUAGGCUCAAAGGAUUAGUUUAGGGCUACUAGUAGCCUUAAUCACCGUGUGACAUCUUGGGAUGAGAUUUCGGAGCAUCAUAGCAAGGUAGAAUUGGAGUUAAAAUUUUUGCAGAUCAUUACGGAAGAGGUUUGGGAGAGUCUAUUGCAUUACUACACUGCUAGCUCUUUCUUGAGCUUGGUGUUUUUAUUUGUUUGAAGUCAAAUAUGUCAUCCAUUAUUGUAGUUGACAGAUUCAUAUAAUCGACCAAGACCACUAACAUUUCCUUAAUAAAGGAUACUUUAAAUUUGGUGGCUUGAGUUUAAGGUUAUUUGACUGAUUUGCCUUCAUUGGCAACUGAGAGAGCUGCAACUACUAAAGAAAUCUUAGUUUCCAAAGUUGGUGAUACUUCUUCAUCUAUACUACAACCCACAACACCUUUGAGUACAGGUUAGUUGGCACUUGUCGUCUAUACAUUGGUACCUACAACUUUAAUAGAGAUGAUGAAGAAGAAUUAGGUUAUACUUAAUGCAUGGAUUAAGAAGUUAGAAGUAAGGUGAAUCCCUAGAUAGAGCAUAAAAUUAAGGAAGUGCUACGAGGAAUACAAACCCAUCUUGAUAGUUUUAAGAGACAAAUAAUAGCUAAGCUAGUCCAGGAUUCUAAUUUAAGCACAGUCACUAUUGAGUGAGGUGAAUUAAAGAAUUGAUAAAGGAGCUUUAUAAAAGGAAGCCUUUCAUUAUGCAAUCUAUGUCGCUCCUGACAUUUAUAGAUUUUAGUGUUAAUAUGGUUGUACUAUAUUUUUACACCAAGGCACUGUAGAUGGGGGGAGAGGAUAGGAAGAUAGAUAAGGUAGUAGAUAAAAUAAAGAAUGGUACACAUCCCUAUAAAUGGAGAAAAAUUAAAGCCAAAAAUGGAAAGAAGAAGAAUCAGAAGAAGAAGAGAAAAGAGAAGAUGAGUGGGAGGACCUUUGAGGUGCCUAGUUCAAAGAGGAGUAAGGUCUCUCCUGCUUAUAUUAAAACUAUAGUUUUUGAGGUUGUUAUUAAAGGUAGGGGAGGCAAAGAGAUCUCCCCUGUGAUGUCAUCAUUGAGUGUAUUAGCUGUCACCAGUGCCGACUUGACUAUAAGUUCCACAGCCACAGCCUAGGCCACAAGAGAUGGAGAAAAAAAAGGGGUUAUAUUUGUGACCCCUACUGAUCAUAGAAAACGGGCGUCAAGUGCACCACAAGUUUGUUUCUACCCUAAUUUUACAUUGUUUUCUUAUUUUAUGCAAUGGGAAUAUUGCAUGAUUUCUCAGUUGGGGGUGGGGUAUACCACAUUUGAAGGUUCUUAUUGUUAUGUUUCUUUUCCCUGGGAUGCAUUAAGUUAGAAUCGACAUGUUUAGGAAUUUUAUUUUUGUUUUUAUGUUACUUUUUGUACAUUUUGGGUAAUCUAUAGAAAAAUAGGACAGAUUUGUGCAGUCAAAAUAAAAGAGUAUGCAAUCUCUAGUUUUAAUGUGUUUAAAUUGAUACCCCUCCAUAAAAUUUUGUGAUGUUUUUGUUUUCUUGUGUGCUUAUCCUAAGCUAUGACCAAUGUGAAUCUUAUUAUGGCAUUAGAAUUAUGAGCAUGAUACCUAUAGCCUAACUUGCUUGAACCAUAUAGGUAGUGACUGAGUAUAUAGCCUUAAGCUAGGUGUGCUAUGAGGUUUACCUAGUCAUAGUAUGUGUGAUCUAGAACUUGCCUAGUUAGUCUCGCCCAAGUUGAAGGUAGGUCAGUUAGAAAAGGAUUGUAGGUCAUUCUUGAAUAAGCCCACUAUAAACCUAAAAAGCCUAUCAAAUGAAAAUAAUAUCCCUUGAUCACAAAAUUGAGCCUAAAUAGAUCUUUUUCUUGAACUAGCCUAUCCACCUUCCAAUUUAUUUACAAUGAACCUUUUUUUGCCCUGGUCCCUUCUUGGAAAUAGUGUACCUUAAUCUAGGCAAAUCAUCUAAGUGGAGAUUAUCUAUCAUCGAGGUGUGUGAAAGAAAUCAGGUAUGUAGAAGAAGUUGGUAAAUGAAAAAAGGGAUUCAGGUGCAAUCUUUUGUAAAGUUAAUGAAAAGAAAAAAGAAAAAAUGAGAAAAUUAAAGAAGAAAAAGUUUGCAAAAGAAAUAACAGAAAUAGAAAUGAAGAAGCAAAAAAAAUUAAAGCUAAGGUCCAAAAGAGUUAAAAAGGGGAUAAAAGUAAAGAAAGUAGAAAAGUGGAGCCAAAGGAAGUAUAUUGCUAAGGACGAAUAGUCACUUGAUCCAUAUGUACCAAACUCAUUCCCAAGCCUAUAUUAAAAGCCAAAAAGUCUGAUUGUAAUCCUAGUAAGUGUGAGUGUUUAUACUUAGUCUUUGUCUUGAUAUUCGUUACUUAUUCUAAGCCUGAGGGUCUUCUUUAAUAUGAGGGCAUUGGGGUGCAUCAUAGUUGUUGCUUGUUUGGUUAGUGUAGUUUGUUUGUUUGCUAGGCUGUACGAUGAUAAUUUAAUGUUAUUUCUUGAUCCCAUUGUGUCAUGGUAAGGGUUUGUGUACAUAUAAAGAGUAUUAGUUUUAAUGAUAUUUGAAAGUGUUCAACUUGGUUUUUGAUUCAUGCAUUCUUAAGUUGAGUUUUGAAAAAUAUGACUGCCUAGUACACUUAGUUUUCUCUUGGUUAAGCAACGUUUAAUUUAGUUUUUGUUUUGUUUUGUUUUGUUUGCCUAAGGACAUGAAAAUAUUCUAAGUUAAGAGUGUUGAUGUUCCAUGAACAAUGAUGUGGUUUUAUGGCAUUUCUAGGUAAAACGGGUCAAGAGAAGUAAAGUUCAAUCCUAGUGCCUCUCUUAUAUUGAUUACAAAUCCAACAAAAUCAUCAUUUGCUGUGACGACCCGAUUUUCUGGAACCGAAAUGUCACACGGUUCUCAUGAUCCCAAAGGACCACAAACUAACCCUCUACUGAUAUCUGUACUUGAGCACUACAUAAUAUAGAUAAUAAAUGCAGAAACUGGCCAUAAGGUUCAAAACAUCUAAAAAUACUCAAAACUGAAAAUUGAAUACUGAUACAUCUGUCUAAAAAACCUCUAAACUGCCUGAACUGUGGAGUUGAUGGGACAUGCCCCAACUAACUCCGUCUACUAAAACUAAACUAAGUCUGAUACGAUAGUAAAAAAAAUAAGGAUCAUUCUCAAAUAAAGAAAACUCAUUGCUACAUCUACUGCUGCUGACAGGGACUGAGCUGCUAGGGGUACUCUGGAUCUCGGCCUCUGAACCUAUGGUGUCAAAUAAAACACCAUAGCACAAAUGCGUCAGUACGAGAAUAUACCAAGUAUGAAGAUGAGGUAAGGCUAAAUGCAAGGGCUUAUGCAUGAAUAAUUACUUAACUGAAUAACAAUGAGAGUACUAAAUGAGAACACAUACAUGAAUGCACAAAUCAUAACUAAAAACAUCGCAACUCAGAAUACAAAAACUCGGAUACUGCUUUACUAACAUCUGAAAUCACUACUAAUACUGAGAUACUGAACAACUGAAUCUUCUGUUAUAGAACACGGAUUACUGAAAUUGAGAUCAGUCCCAUCCAGUGAGUGAUCUCAAAAACUCAUAAUAUUGAAGUUGAUUAACUAAAUCUACUCAUAUGCUGAGCUUACUACUCUCGACUGACUGAAUCUAAGAUUAAACCUUUCUAACGGAUGAUCCCUGAAUCUACUAUCAAUGAUAAGAAAAAGAUUAUGUCUGAGAUCAACCCUAUCUAGUGGAAGAUCUUUGAAUCUGAUAAUGAGAAUACUCAACUAAAUCUGAGACUGAGAUCAAGCCUAUCUAAUGGGUGAUAUCUGAAUCUGAUAAUGAGCUUCUCAACUAAAUCUGAGACUGAGAUCAAGCCUACCUAAAGGGUGAUCUUUAGAUCUAAUAAUGAGAUUACUCAACUGAAUUUGAGACUAAGAUCAAGCCUAUCUAACGAGUGAUCUCUGGAUCUGAUAAUGAGAUUACUCAACUGAAUCUGAGACUGAGAUCAAGCCUAUCUAACAGGUGACCUUUGGAUCUGAUAAUAAGAUUACUGAACUGAAUCUGAGACUGAGAUUAAGCCUAUCUAACUGGUGAUCUCUGGAUCUGAUAAUGAGAUUACUCAACUAAAUCUAAGACUGAGAUCAAGCCUAUCUAACGGGUGAUCUUUAGAUCCGAUAAUACUGAUACUGAAUAACUUUAUAUGAGACCAUGCCUAUCUAGCGGGUGGUCCAUGAAUCAAUGGAACUAUCUGAGUUUCUUACUAAUAAAGGUGACUGUAUCUGAUAGACCUAAUUUUUGAGUUCUACUCUAAAAACUGAUAAUGAAACUACAACUGUGAGAAUGCUCACUUAAUCGACAUACCCCGAAUCUGAACUGGUGGGGUCUAAACUGUAACCCCAGCUGGAAGGGUGUCAAUACCGUACCACAGGUAAAGACCUUUCUAUUCAAGCCUCUCUAAUAGGUGACCCUCACAAGAAGUUAACCCUAAGGCAGUAUAAUAUUCAAGCCUUUUUCUAACGGGUGACUCCUGCAUCUUAUGCUGGAUAUGUAGUUCUAGAGUUCAGGGAUUGCUCCUAACGACUCUGUCUCUCUAACGGGGUGCCUUUAUCCCUAGAAUCUCUCAAUGCAAGCUCCUACUCCCAACUGAAAGACUCAGAAUUGAUUCUCAACUAAACUUAAACUGAGCCGAAUCUGAUACUGAUCAUGUUUCUUGAGUAAUAUGACUGAGUUAUGCUGAAUUCACUUUGAUUAGAUAUAAAUAGGGGCUAGAAAGAGUGGGAAAAGGACCAAAAUUCCUUUUAAAAUUGAGUUAAAAAUAUAAAACUGGGGUUGCGAUGGUUCGUCGGUAGUCUGACGGUCCAUCGGAUCGUCUGCCGUACGUCAGUUCAAAAAAUAUCACACUACCUUGGUAGUAAUAGUUUGACCAAUGGUCCAUCGCAAACUCGAUGGUCCGUUGGAUCGUCCGUCGUACGUUGGCCAAGAUGAGGCCACACUACCUCAACGACGACUGUCUUAGCGAUGGUCUAUUGCAGCCUUGAUGGUCCAUCAUCUUGGCCAUUGUACUUGGGCCAAAAAAAAGAGUUACUACCUUGGUUGCAAUGGUUUGGGCGACGAUCCAUCGCAAGCUCGACGGUACGUCAACCUAGCCACUGCAAAUGGACGAUUCCUACUACUUUCUAUAAAAUGGCCAUAACUUCUUCGUUCGAUGUUGGAUUUUGACAAAAUUGGUAUUGACAAAAAGCUUAUUCAAUUAUCUACUUGAAAAAAUUUUGAUAUUAGGGAAAUUCUACGCGGUUCAAAAUUUUUCUCACUUGGGAAGGCACCUCUCAAUCUUUUAGAACCGGAUUUACACUUUACUUGACAUGCUCUAAGGCUCCGACUAUGAGAGAAUUUUUGGGGGUCUUACAAUAUCUCCUACUUGAAAACAUUCUUCAUCGAAUGUCGCUCGAUAGGCUAAGAAUAUUGAUCAACUAAACUUAGUCCAGGAACAAGAGCAUCUAAAACAUGACUACGCAACUGGAACUACUGAUAUGCUAAGCUCUCAUACUGGACAUGCAUAUCUGAUGCAUGGAAUACUCGACUGAAGCUACUCAUAAGCUGAAUUCUCAUAACAGACUUGUAUAUCUGAUGCAUAGAUUCGUAACUGUGCUGGUCUCAUGAAUGCACGACUGAAUACACUAAAAAACUUAACUCUUCUACUGAACAUGCAUACCUAAUGCAUGAAUGUCUGACUGAAUUGACUCUCAAAAGCAUGACUGGCUAUGCAAUAAUAAUUGAUGUUAACUUCAUGAGGAGAGUAUGAACAUGCAACUGGAUGAGUCUAACGACAUGAAAGCAUCGUAAUAUCAUGGGGUAUCUCCCCCUUGGGACUCUAUGUCCCUCUAAACACACUUCGCUGAAAUACUGGGGUGGUGCAUGGGGCACCUACGAACUCGGUCAUGAUUGACAGACUAAGAUCUGAAACUAAUGCGUGACUCAUAUAGAAAUAUAAGCUCAAAAUAGGAGCAAAGUAUCUAACAAUGCAUAUCAUAAAUAUGAAGGACUCAUAACAUACUCGAAACUAUAUCAGUGAACCUUUUCUGAUCAUGAUGGGUCUGAAGCACAUGAAAUCUGUUCUGACGCUGACUACUAUAGGCACUGGAAGGGGCACUUUGCUGAUAAAACUCUCUACCCCUCUAGGCUAGCACUCUACAUUCUCGUAUUCUAUGGCCUGGAUUACCACACCCAAAGCACACAUCACUACCGGCUCUACACACACCUAGAUGGCUCUUGCCCCUAGGUGCCUCUUGCCACACUCUCCACAAAUCGGGUAGGUAUGAACACCACUAGCACUACUCUGGGCUUUGGAGCCUAGCACCCCAUCAUAACUGACAUCCCCAAACUUUGGUGUGGGUACACUAGCUAAGGAUGGAGCUGGGACUGAAAACCUCUAGCUAUGCCUAGAACGGCUACCACUUUGGAACCCUUCCUGAGAGAAACCAUGACUGCCUACUCUGGCUCUCUUACUCACUCUCUUUUAUUCUUUAGUAUUAUCUACCUCAAUCUACUGUGCAUGCAUCAUCAGUCUAGCAAGGUCCAUAUCUCUAUUGAGCAUAGUAGCCCUACACUCCUUCAAUACUAACCCAAAUACACUAGUCACAAACUUACUCAUACUCACUCUAGGGUCAGCUAUCAAGUCGGGAGCAUACUUAGCUAACUGGUUGAACUUAAGACAAUACUCCUUCACUGUCAUGAAGCCUUGCCUUAGGUUCAUGAACUCUUCUACCUUUGCCUCUCUCAUCUCUAGUGGGAAAAACUUAUCUAGAAAGGAAUCCUAAAACUCCUGCCAAGUCACGGGAGUUGCAUCCUCCCCUCUACUCUUAUUCCAUAUCACUACCCAAUUAUGAGCAAUAUCCUUCAGUCUAUAGGAUGCUAACUCUACACUCUUCUCCUUAGAAACAUGCAUAAUCUGGGUGAUUUUCCUUACCUGCUACUGACCCAAAGAAUUCUGGCAGGCCCAUCCUCAUGAAAUCUCUAAUUCUAGCUAUGGCUGAACCCCCAUCUUACUGAGGUAGGGCCAUAGCCUGAUGGUUCCCCUGAACAUUAGUCAUCAUAGCUUAUGCUAGUGCAUGAAAAGCUGCCCAAAACUCGACGUGUAACACACUCUCAUUCUCAGGAUCUACAGGAUGAGGUGGUUGGUCACCAACUCUAGAGACAUUAUCUCUGUGAGGAGGCAUACUCUAUAAUUGGAAGAAAGAGGUGUAUUAAACUGAGGAUCAACAUGAGCUCAUACUCACCCACAUGAUAUGAACACUAAAAGAAGGGAAACUGCUCCUAAAUCAUCUUAUAGCCUCUUGUACAUAAAUUUGAAGCACAACACACCCAUGCACAAGACUCUACUAGAUGUGACUUUUCAGACUCCCUAGGACACUAUUGAACCUUAGGCUCUGAUACCAAGAUUGUAAUGACCUAAUUUUCUAGAACCGAAAUGUCACACGGUACUCAUGAUCCCGAAAAACCAUAAGCUAACCCUCUACUGAUAUCUAUACCUGAGCACUGUAUGAUAUAGAUAAUAAAUGCAAAAACUAGUCAUAAGGUUCAAAAUAUCUAAAAAUACUCAAAACUGAAAACUGAGUACUAAAACAUCUGUCUAAAAAGCCUCUAAACUGUCUAAACUGUGGAGUUGAUGAGACAUACUCCCAAUUAACUCCGUCUACUAAAAAUAAACUAAGUCUGGUGCGAUAAUUAAAAAAAUAAGGAUUAUCCUCGAAUGAAAAGGACUCACUGCUACGUCUACUGCUGCUAAUAGGGACUGAGCUGCUAGGGGUACUCUGGAUCACAAGCCUUUAAACCUAUGGUGUCAAAUAAAACACCAUAGCAUAAAUGCAUUAGUACGAGAAUGUACCGAGUAUGAAGAUGAGUUAAGGCUAAAUGCAAGGGCUUAUACAUAAACAAUUACUUAACUAAAUAACCAUGAGAGUACUGAAUAAGAACACAUGCAUGAAUGCAAAAAUCAUAAUUGAAAACAUCACAACUCAAAAUACUGAAACUGAAUACUGCUUUACCAAUAUCUGAACUCACUACUAAUACUGAGAUACUAAAUAACUAAAUCUCCUGAUAUAUAAAACCGAGUACUAAAACCGAGAUCAGUCCCAUCUAGUGAGUGAUCUCAAAAACUGAUGAUACUGAAGUUGAUUAACUAAAUCUACUCAUAUCAAUGACUGAAAGCUGAGCUUACUACUCUCGACUGACUGGAUUUGAGAUCAAACCUUUCUAACGGAUGAUCCCUGAAUUUACUAUCAAUGAUAAGAAAAAUAUUAUGUCUAACAUCAAACCUAUCUAGCGGAAGAUCUCUGAUCUGAUAAUGAGAAUACUCAAUUGAAUCUGAGACUGAGAUCAAGCCUAUCUAACGGAUGAUUUUUGGAUCUGAUAAUGAGAUUACUCAACUAAAUCUAAGACUGAGAUCAACCCUACCUAACAGGUGAUUACUGGAUCUGAUAAUGAGAUUACUCAACUAAAUCUGACACUAAGAUCAAGCCUAUCUAAUGGGUGAUCUCUAGAUCAGAUAAUGAGAUUACUCAACUAAAUCUGAAACUGAGAUCAAGCCUAUCUAAUGGGUCAUCUUUGUAUCUGAUAAUGAGAUUACUCAACUGAAUCUAAGACUGAGAUCAAGCCUAUAUAAUGGGUGAUCUCUGGAUCUGAUAAUAAGAUUACUCAACUAAAUUUGAGACUGAGAUCAAGCCUAUCUAAUGGGUGAUCUCCAGAUCUGAUAAUACUGAUACUGAGUAACAUUAUAUGAAACUAUGCCUAUAUAGUGUGUAGUCCAUGAAUCAAUGGAACUAUCUGAGUUCCUUACUGAUAUAUGUGAUUAUUUCUGACAGUCUUAAUUACUGAGUUCUACUUUGAAGACUGAUACUAAAACUGUAACUGUGGGAGUGCUCACUUAACCGACAUGCCCUGAAUAUAAACUGGUGGGGUCUAACCUGUAACCCCAGCUGGAAGGGUGUCAAUACCAUACCAUGGGUAAAGACCUCUCUGGUCAAGCCUCUCUAAUGGGUUACCCUCAAAAGAAGUCAAGCAGUAUAAUAGUCAAGCCUUUUUCAAACGGGUGACAAGCCUUUUUUUAAUGGGUGACUCCUGCAUCCUGCGCUGGCUAUGCAAUUCUAGAGUUCAGAGAUUGCUCUUAACAACUCUGCCUCUCUAACGGGGAGCUGUCAUCCCUGCACUCGCUCAGUGCUAGCUCCUACUCCCAACUGAAACACUCUGAACUGAUUCUCAACUGAACUUAAACUGAGCCGAAUCUGAUACUGAUCAUGUUUCUCGACUGAUCUAACUGAGUUAUGUUGAAUUCACUUGAUUCUGUAUCUAACGAAAUAAUACUCAAUCUCAUUGUCUAACUAAAUGAUACCAAGCUCGAGAUAAAUUACUCGAAUACCGCUGAGGACUGAACUGAACACUUAAUUACUACUAGAUCUGAGCUGAGUAUUGAACUGAGGCUAGAAUACUAGCGACACUGAGAUUAAUAAGAUUACUGAGAUUUCUUACGUUCUGUAUCUGUUUAAGAGUACAGAGUUCUAUAACUCACUGAGUUCUAAGAAUCGUGGCAUGACUGAGAUUAUCGAGAAAACUGAUACUGGCUCUAGACUGCAGCUAAUUUAUCGGGUAUAAAUACCCCCAGGACUCGAUGAUAUAAAAUUAAAACAUAGCCAUUCUUGAAUAUUCAAGAUUAUGGACAUUCAUUCACCAUCACAAUCACUAAAGCAUCUCUUCAAGUAUUUAGAAAUCAUAAACAUGUGAUAGUAUAGGGAGAUAUACUAUUCGCUCAUACUCCAUUCAACAUGGUCUUACAUCAAACACUUAGCAUGUAUUAAAGUCUUAGCAUGUAUCGAAGAGUACAUAAUUGGGGAAUUUCAUGCUAUCAUAUCACAAUUCAUUCACUAAGGCUUUUCAACAAAUUCUUGGCAUGCAUGGGUUUGCACACAAUUGGGGAUUUCUAGUCCAUAUGUUAUAAUGACUCUAAUUCUUUCACAUAAGCAUUUUAUCAAACAUAUGGGGAGCAUGCUUUGCUUAAACAAUAAUUUCUUCACUUAAUUGAUGUGAACUCAUUACUUAAACAUCAACUUAAAAAGGGAUUAUCAUGAACAUCACAUGAAUAUCACAUACUAGGGUCAAAGCUUGAAACCUCAUAAACAAAACAUGAAUUAAAACUCGAUAAUAACAUGAACAUCAAUUUCAAAUCACAUGAAUCAUGAAAACUCAUAAACAUAAGAUCUUUGAAAUUUAGAAAAGGGUUCUUGAGUUUCUUGGAUAAAAGAGACCCAAGAAUCAACAUCUGCAUACCUUAGGAAACUCUUUCUUGAAAGCUCUUGGAGAGAUUCUUGAUUUCUUAAUUUCUCUUGAAUUUUCUUGAAUAAGAAAGAAGAGUUUUGAUUUUCGUAGAAACUCUAGUUUUUUAUGUUAAAGAUAAAGAAUGAAAUUGUGAGCCUUGAUCAGAUAUAAAUAGGGGCUAAAAAGAGUGGGAAAAAGAGCAAAAAGCCCUUUUAAAAUUGAGUUAGAAAUACAAAACCGUGUCUGCGAUGGUCAAAGUAGUCUAUCGAUAGUCUAACGGUCCAUUGGAUUAUCUAUUGUGACGGUCUGAGCGACGGUCCGUCGGAUCGUCCAUCGCACGUUGGCCAGAAUGAGACUACACUACCUUAGCGAUGAUGGUCCACUGUAGCCUUGAUGGUCCAUUGUCCUAGCCAUCGUAGUUGGGAUAAAAAAGGAGUUACGACCUUGGUUGUGAUAGUCUGGGCGACGGUCCAUCAACUCGGCUGUCGCACCUGGACGGUUCUGACUACUUUCUAUAAAACGGCCAUAACUUCCUCGUUCAAUGUUGGAUUUUGAUGAAAUUGGUAUUGACACAAAGCUUAUUCAAUUCUCUACAUUAAAAAAUUCAAUAUUAGGGAAAUUCUACGUGGCUAAAAUAUUUCUCACUUUGGAAUGCACUUCUCAAUCUUUUAGGAUCGGAUUUAUACUUCACUUGAUACGCUCUAAGGCUCAGACUACGAGAGAAUUUUGCGGGAUGUUACAUUUUCCACUAUUAGAAUUCUGAUUUACAAGUCCCUCUUUUUACUAGAGAUUAUUUACGAAUUGCUUAGAUAAAUACUUGAUGGAGAUUUUGACCUAUUCAUCAUGGGAUCGACCCUAACUUAGUUGAAUUUUAUAUUUGAUCAAAGAACACUUUAUAAUUUAUUUAGAGGUGUAAUUAGGCUAUAUCUAAAUGUAUCAUAAAUAUCCCUGAGCCUAUGUUACAUGCUAAGAAAAGUCCUAUAGUGAUCCCAGUCUAACUAACCAAAGAUAACAUGCAUAGAAAAUAAGGGCAAACCUUAUGUUAUUGCAUUGAUAACUUUUGAACUUUUUUAAGUAUGAGAGAUUUUAUGGAUAUGGUCCCAGUUUUAUCUUUAUCUUAUUUGAGGGACCUUCUUUAUGUGAGGGAAUAUUGGUAACAUCGUCUAGAUAUUGGUUGAUAGUAUGGUUGGUUAUUUUAUAAUAACAUGAUGUCAGUCCCUGAUCACUCAAUGUUAGCUUUAAAUAGUUUGAGUCACACACAUUGAUUUUAAAAACAUAGAGGGGUAAUCAUUUGUGAAAUUUAUUAUUGCUAAGUGCUCAUUAAAACUGUUGGAGGUUUUCUGAGUUUUGAUACCUAAGUGUGUGUAAAUAUUGAGUCUUGUUAGGAUGUCCUUUAUAAUUUCAGUAUUAUUUUAGUUGUUGAGGACCAAUAAGGAUUCUAAGUUAGGGGUGUUGAUUUGUCGGUAUUUAACGACACAUUUGAUACUUUAUAACUUUGAAUUAUUAUGAUUAUUAAGUAAUUUUUAUGGGAUUUGGUUGAUUUUUUGUUCUAUGUGCAGGGAAACAGCCUACAAACACAAAAAUUGGAGUUUUUAUUAAAAAAUACAAAAUAAUGAGUCAUCAAUGAUAAUGAAGGAUCGGGGACCAGAAUGUGGAUGUAGUGAAUGUUUUUGCCCAAAUAUCAAAUGAUAAGAUGGCGAGACGUCACUCCUAAUAGUGAAAUUGAGGAAAAGAGUGUAAAAGGUGAUGACCUAAACCAUGGCUCAUAUGAUGAACCAUCAACCAUGAUGAUGAGUUGUCAUCCUAAGCCAUGGGAUCUAGACAAGAGGAUUGGUAAUUAUGAGUUAAAACAAUGAUUCCCCAUGGUGAACCAUCACUCAAAUGAUGAUCUUUGGAUGCAAGAUGACCUUGUUUCCUAGUCCAAUUAGGAUUUUUUUGUAAAUGCUAUAAAUAUAUUUUUAGGUUUUUAUUUUGUUUUAUCAGACGGUAUUUUUAAAAAUAUACAAAAACACUCUCUUGUGACCUAUGUGUUCUUGCUUUCUUACUAAGUUCUUAAAAUAUUGAUUUUACAAUACAAGGCUAGUUUUAUUCAUCUUAUUCUCAUAAGUCUAUCUCUAUGGUUAUUAAUUUUCUUAUUGGUUUGUUUGCAAAGUUAUAAGAAGAUAAACCCUACAACUAGGGAUAUGGGAACAAUGAUAUAAUAGUGAUAAUAAGAUCACACAAAAGGUGGUUUUUAAUGGUGUUACAUACAUACAUUGAUAGUCUUUUCAUUUUGAAUACAUUUUAACGGUUGCAAAUGUCAGAUCUUGACUUAGAUUUAAACUUGUUUGACAAAAGAAGAAAAGAUCAAAAAAAGAAACUAGCAACAAAUAUUGAAGGCUUCUAACCUCAUCUAAUGGUUAGGGUUAUAACUAGAAUAGCCAACCUAAAAUAUCAAACACAAAUCAGUUGAUUAACAUUCAAAGAUGGAAAGGUUUUAGAGUUAUAUUUACCUAAUUAGGUCAGAAGACAUUUAGGUAAAGCUAUAUGUUUGUUGGUUUUGAAUGUGUGACAUCGAAAUGAAUCACCAACAAUAGUAACCUGUUAGCAUUUUGGAAUCAUGGUGAUCUAGUAGUCUCUAAUUACUAAAUUGACCCACUUAAACAACAUCAGUUCUCUGUUAUCUUAAUCAUUCAAUCCACUCAUAGUUCCAUAUGCAAUCUCCCCUUGAAAAUACCGACUAUCGAUUAAAAUAAUUAUUUUGGGCUUAUUUCUCAUCAUAUUCCUUGUGGGAUUCGACCCCAACCUAGUUGAGUUUUAUAUUUGACUAUGACUAUUUUAUACUUCAUAAGAAAGUGUAAUUUGGUUGUAUCAAUGACUUGCAUACCUGAUGGAAAAGUGUCUUUUGUGGAUUUUAUUAUUUAUGACUUGCAUACCCGAUGAGAAAGUGUUUUACUUAGAUUUUACUGAUUUACGACUUUUCAUACCCGAUGUGGAAUUGUUCAUGAUGGCUGAAUAGAAAAUGAUUCUGAAUGAAUUCAUGAUUUUCACGCUUGAAGAGAAAUUGUUUUGGUAGGUAUAUGGACCUCGCAAGUCCCAUAUGGGUGCCAGCUAGCUAUAGGAAAACGGGUAUAUACUGUAGCAUACAUUACAUCAUAUUUCAUUAAUCUCAUUAAUUCCAAUAGAUUGAUUUCAUUGUUGUUGUAUACCAUGAAUGGUGAAUUUUUACUAUUAUUCUGAAUUGACAAAUUGUGGAUUUGAAUAGUAUCAAUUUCCCUAUUAUUGUUUUUAUCUACUAGCUUAGGUGCGACUUUUCUGUUUGUAGUUUUCUCGACUAUUAGUGGUAGUAGUGAUUUAGAAGGUUCUUGUCAUCACUUUGAAUUAGGAUCAGUCAACGAUGCUACUGAGUACAUAUGAUUUGGUACUAACAUGUGUUUAUUUCUAUACUUUACGUAUAGAUGUGGAGACUACUAUUCCUGCACACUGAGUUUUGGUAUGUGUUUGGGUGUUUCUUGAGAUUCAGAGGUAGUGUCGAUUGAUUAUAGUGACUACCGAGAUCUUUUGAAUUUUUUUGUUAUAUUCUAUUAUUUCGAGAUACUAUAGACUUUCGAUGUAAUUUCCUUUUUCAUUACUCUUAGAGGCUUAUAACAUGUGACUAUCGAGUUUUGGGAUUAUUAUUGUUUUCCUAUAUCUUUGAUCAAAUACGGUUGAGUUCAAUUGAGAUUUAUCUUUAUGUUAUUACUUCUUUUUCUUAUUAUCUUGUUUAGUAUAUGUGUAUGUGUAGGGUUUGACUUACCUAUUGCGAGGGGAUGAUAAGUGACAUCACGGUCGAGUUUCGGAGUGUGAAACAAAAUAAGUGGCCCCUUUAUCUUUUUAUUUUAUCUAAAAAAGGCAUUUUACAUAAUCAAGAAAACAUUAAUAAUGUCUUUCAAUUUUACCCUUAUUUAAAUAAUAAAGUUUUAUAACCAAGAAACUACUACUUCAUUCUUUCAAUUUUACUUGUCACAAUUAAAAUUGACACGCUCAUUAAGAAAAUAAUAGUUGACCUGACUAUUACCACACUACCCCUAUUAAUUAAUGUUUAGUAUUGCAUCUUAGAAAAUAAUUUGAAAAAUUAAUAAUUAAUGUUAAAGGUAAAACAUGAAAAAAAAUUAAUUAUUUUUUCUUGAUAUGUUAAAGUGACAAGUAAAAGUGAAUGGAGCGAGUAAAUAGUUACAUUCUUUUUAAGGUAUUUAUUAAGAUUAAGUUGUUAAAAAUACAUUUUACUUUCUAGGAAUUACUUCCUCCAUUCCUUUAUAAGUUCUGCUUUUGGGUUGUGAUUUUGUUUCAAAAUAAAUGUUUAUUUAAACCUUCAAAGAUACUUUGAUAUAUAAUCUGCCUAAUAUGUCUUUGAGUUUAAAUAUAGUAACAAUGUCAACUUAAAUAGAGAAAAUUUAAUUAGAGGUAAGCUAAAAUACCUUUAAUUUUCUAGAAAUGAUUAAUUUAUUAAUGGGUGUGUCCAAGCCAAAAAUAACACUUAUUUAGAAAUAAAGGCAGUAGUAAUUUUCUUAAAGGGUGUGCUCACACUAAAAACAUCACUUACUUUAAAAUAGAGGAGGUAAUAUAUAAAUGUCAAACAUUAUUAUAUGAUUAUAAAAAUGUUGAUUACUCCUAGGGCUGGGCAUUAUUUUGAUAACACCAAAAAAUAAAUCAAAUCAAACCAAAUUUUAAUUUGGAUUAGUUUAUUGAUUUUUUAGUUUGGUUUCAAAUUAAGAAUUUACUCUUCUGUUUUUUUGGUUUAGUUUUGGAUUUAGAAAAAUAAAUUCGAUAAAUCAAAAAAAAUUAAAUUAUUUUAUAUACAUAUAUAAUAUUUAGAUUUAGAAUUAGAGUUUAAGUUUGAGUUUACCACUUUCAACCCAUUUUGUUAUUGCCUUUUUGUGUUAGGGUACUACCAUAUUUACGUAUUAUCCCAUUGUAUUUAAUUAUUUUCCCGUUAAUGGCAUUUUAGAUUUCAUAAUGAUUUAGUUUAUAUUUUAUGUUUGGUCAUUUUUUGAUAUACUUUUAACUAUAUGUUCUAAAGUUUUACGUGUGACUUAUAUUAUAAUGUAUUUUUAAGAGCUUCAAUAUUAUUACUUCUCCUUGCAUAUAAUGUUUUAUUUUAUUUUUCAAAAUGCAAAUGCAACUUUGAUUAUCUUAUUAAUUAUUAACACAAUCGAAUAGCCAAACUGAAAAAAAUGAAAUUGAAAAGAGGGAAGCAAACCAAAUCAGAUUUAAUUUGGUUGCACUUUUUUCAAAAUCAAAAAUCAAAAUUGAAUAACAUAAAACCAAAAUCGAAAGACCAAAUGCACACUUAACUACUCCCUCCUUCAUUUUUACUUGUAUAUACUAUUUUAAAAAUAAAUUUUCACUUCUACUUGUCACUUUUAAAUAUCAAAAAAGGAUAAUUAUUUUUUUCACAUUUAGAUUUAGAAUUAGAGUUUGAGUUUACCACUUUCGGACCAUUUAGUUAUUAUCUUUUUUUUUUUGUAAAAAUUACCUAUAUAACAACAUGUUUAUUGAUAUUUAUAUAAAAUUCCAACUUUUUUCAAAAUUUCUGAAAAUCCCAACUCUUAGCAUUUGAUGAUACAUAUAACUAAUAUGAGAUACAUCCUACAGAUACAUUUAAAAUUAAACUAAGUUGCAUAAUUUAAGGGAUGUAACGGCUAAACUACCUUUAAUGUAGCAAUUAACCUAACUAAUUAUGGUAAAAACACAAUAAAAUCCCACAAAAAAGGUAAUUUGUCUGUUAUACCACCUUUUAAAACAAAAUCCCUUCCAUGUUUAGUUUCCAGAUAUCAAAAAGUUCAUACGACAUUUUUUUUUCUUGAUUUUCUUUGCAAUGAAUAUUUCAGUGUUAGGUUGUUCCGGCUAGACAACUACAUAUUUACGAAUGCAUUAGUAUACUCUUUCAUGAAAAUAUUAUUACCACUUUAUGGAGUUUGAUGAACCUUGUAAGAAUUCCAUGCGAAGGGAAAAGAUACUUGGAAGCAAUCAUAAGGUGACAUGCUCAGUACUGUAGAGCAACAUACGACAAUGAGGGUCUAUUGAAGGUCAGUUAAGUUCCACACGAGAAGAUUUUAGUUGCAUUGCAACUUCACAAAAUUCUACUGAUUCAUAUAACCGAUUCAUAGAUCAAGGAGGUAACACUUAUAGCAGUUUCAACACUUCAUAGUGUUGAGUAGCUCCCCGUUGUGAUUUAAGAAUUGUUGAAUCAUUUUGAUUCUCCAAGUGUAUAUUCAUUUUGUAUUCAUAGAAAUGUCACAAUAAUUAUUAGGUUCAUAUCUUGCUUUAUUCAAUCUUUUCUUUGUUGAUACAAUUGCAAUUCACUGGUGUCGUGGAAUUUUAAUAAUGGAAAUGACAAGAUUUAACAUAUUUCAAGUGUAGAAAAUCUUGAAGUGAGCCUUUUUCAGUUUACAUUGAAUUGAUUUUGUCCGAAAGGCGUUUUACAAUCAAAUGCUAGUGUUGGAUAGUUUGACUAUACGUUCUUUCACCAAAGUUUCUACAAUUUCCCAAAAGUACAACUAAAUGAAUAAAUGUUAAUCAUAUAUAUAGAUUUGGGGAGCUGCCAACAACAAUGAAUCUUUUGCGCAUUGUUGAUAUUAAUAUAGUAAAAAUUACCUAUAUAACGACAUGUUUACUGAUAUUUACAUAAAAUCUCAAUUUUUUUCAAAAUUUCUGAAACUCGUGUCAAAAAAAUAAUAAAUAAGAUACUUGCAUAGCCAUCACGGAAAAUAUGUAAAAAUUUCACAGAUAAAGUAGAGCAUCUUUACCAUCAAACUAGUAAAUAUUUAUGCAAUCAUAGUUUUUAAAUGAGAUACAAACUAGUAAACAUUUAUGCAACCAUAGUUUUUAAACAAGAUACAUUAAAAACAUAUGAGAUACAAAAUAAAUCAACAUGUAUCUCGUACAACAUAACAUAAAUAUAUUAAAUGCAGUCAAUAUAGAUGUUACUAAAACCUGUGGCAAAAUAAUAAUACAUAAGAAACUUGAAGAGCCAUCAAGAAAAAUAUAUAAAAAAUACACAAAUAUGUUUGAACUACUUUUUCAUCAAAUAUUUUGUAAAAUUUCAAAAACAACACUUAAAGUGUAUAUAACAGCGAAAAGCAGUAACUCACUUCAUGAAAAGUUUUAAAUAUCCAACUAAUACACAACUAUUCAAUAUUCAAAACACAAUUUCUUUUCGCUGGUAUGAAACUGUUCCUUGGCCUCGGUGGAUCGUCAUUCUCACUAAUGUAUCCAUUCUCCACCUUUUGAGACCCAUACUUGCACAAAAAUAAUGCAUAUUUCAAACGAAUACGAAGUCCGCAAUCUAAGUCCACUUUAAUCAAGUGCUCUUUCCUUGUUAUGUUGCAUUCCCUGCUCCAUAAAAAAUAUUACAGAUACAGAUAAUACAACCUCCUCCUCAAUAUGUAUCUCAAAUCUUACUAACAUGUAUCUUCAAAAUGCUUAUUUCAAUAUAACUUAAAAUUACAAGAGAUACAUAUAAAUGCAUAAAGAAAUAAUCAGAGAUUUAAGAUAAUAAAAUAUGUAUCUUUAAGCUUAUAUACAUAUGUCUUUUGGGAUACUCAUUUAAAUGAAACUUAAAAAACAAUAGAUACAUAAAAAAAAUACAUAAACAGAAAACCAAAUGUACAAGAUAUUACAAUAUGUAUCAUUGAACUUACUAACAGUUAUCUAUUGGUAUGCUUAUUUCAAUAAAAGUUAAAUAAUAGGAGAUACAUAUAAAUGCAUAAAUAGUACACCAGUGAUACAAGAUAAUAUGUUUAUAUAAGCUUGUAAAUAUGUAUCUUUUGUUAUGUUAACUUCAAUAAUACUUAAAAACAUGAGAUGCAUAUAAAAUCAUAAACAAAUAACCAUAUAGACAAGAAAUUGAUAACGUAUCAUGCAUGUCUAAAUAUGUAUCCCGGCCUAAUAUUUAUCAGAUCUGGACAUGUAAAUACCUUUGGAAGUUCAUCUUUAUAAAUAACUUCAACAACUCUUCUUCUUUUAGCGGGAACUUUACCUCCAGGAUUGUUAGAUUCUCUUUUCUUAGAAACAUGAACUUCUUUUUUCUUAUCCUUCUUGGCAUGCUUUUCCCCCAAUUUCUUCAUAGUAUGUGGAUCGUUUCUAUACUUGGAUCUAUUUUCAUUAAAAUCAUCAAAUUCGUAGUCAAAACUACUAGGAAUAAAGUUUAGAACUUCUUCAUAUUGUUUGAUAAUGUGUAAUUGAGAGAUUCCAAGACUAAACUAUGGUCCCAAAUCUCUAUUCAUUAUGUUAAUUCAAACAAUAUAGACUGAAAAAUGAUAAUCAAAGACUUUGUUCAACAAAUAUCGGCAAAAAAUCACUUAGAAAAAACACUUUCAAAUUAUUGAUUUCUUAAAAAAAAUCGUCAGAUAAGAUUAGAAAAAAUUGGAUAUGAUUUUAGGGGGGAAAUUUACCUUAUUAGAGAAAAAGAAGGGAUUGAAUCGCCGCUGAAAUAAUAGCGUAGAAUAAGGAGGAGAACCGUUUUUAAUUUGGUAAAGUAAAGGAGUAAGAUGAGGUGUCUUUAACAUGUAUCUCUACUAUUAGUAAAAGUAGUAAAUGUUGAGAUAUUUGUAAUAUUUUUAAAGUGGAGGGAUUUUUAGUAUUUUUGUAACAUAAGUUGUUCUUUUAGGUAAUUUUUCCUUUUUUAGGGUACGACCAUAUUUAUGUAUUAGCCUAUUGCAUUUAAUUAUUACCAAGUUAAUUGCAUUGGAAUUUUCAUGAUCAUUUAGUUUAUAUUUCAUGUUUGAACACCUUUUGUAUACUUUUACCAUUGUGUUUUAAAGCUUUACUCGUGACUUAUAUUAGAAAAUAUAUUUAAGAGCUUCAGUAUUAUUACUUCUUAUAUAUAAUUUUUAUUUUUUUCUAGCAUGUAAAUAUAACUUUGAUUAUGUUAUUAAUUAUUGACAUAAUUAAACAGCCAAACCGAAAAAAUGAAAUCAAAAAGAGAAAAGUUGAACCAAAUCAAAUUUAUUUUGGUUCGAAUUGGGUUACUGUAACACCCCGAUUUCCUGAUCCGGAAUGCUACAUGGUGCUCAUGACCUCGAGGGACCACAAGCUAAUCCAUGUCUGAUAUCUGUACCUGUAUAUUGCAAAUCAUGAGGUAAUAAUGCGGAAUACAUAGAACUGUAAGGCUAUAAGGUUCAACUGAAUACAAUCAUGUGGGUGAAAAUACCCAAAACAACUCAAUCUGAAAGCUAAAUCUGAACAUAAAUCUGAAAGUAAAUUCGAAAGCCUCUAAACUGUCUGAAUAAGGAGUUGAAGGAACAUAUCUCCAACUAACUUUGUAAAACUAAACUGAAAAAUAAAUAAAUGAAUCAAAUUAUACUAUCCUCAAAUCAAUGAAGACUCACUGUGUCUCUGCGACUGGAAUGCUGCCGCUACUGCUGGGCUGGAGCUCGUGUCUCGGAACCUAUGGUGUAACAUGAAAAGAAAGCACCAUAGAACAAAUGCGUCAAUACAACUGGAGUACUGAGAAUACGAGGAAGGUAGGCUGAACAUAAAGGGUUUCAUGCAUGAACAACACUGACUGACUAAUAUGAACGUGGGAGUGCAAACACAUAUAUAUAGAAACUGGGACUAUGAAUACGUGAUAGCAUAACCUAUAAGCUAAUACAUGGUUUACUGAUAACUGUCAUAACUGAUACUGAAACUAAUAACAUGGACGACUGUAUCUGACGGUCCUGUAUAUACAGAAAUCUGAAGAACGCCCUGAGUUCUUUCACUGAGACUGAUACUGAAACUGAUAACAUGGACGACUGUAUCUGACAGUCCUGUAUAUACUAAAAUCAAAAGAACACCCUGAGUCCUUUUACUGAGACUGAUACUAAAACUGUGAGAAGUAGUGUUUAGUCGGCAUGCCCCAUGUAUGCCGUUAUGGCUAAGCUGGGGUCCAAUCUCUGCCCCGAUUGGAGAGGUGUCAAUACCGUGCCACGGGUAAGGACAAUCAGUGAAUGACCCUUAUCUGGCGGGUACUCAAUGAGAAUGGUGGGAACCCUAAACUGACGGGUUAAGCCACCUCAUCAACCCGAAUCUGAUAGGUUAAGAUGUCUCAACCUACGCUAGCUACGUAGUUCUGGAACACAAGGAUUGCUACUAAGAAUCACACCCUAAACUGGCGGGUGAGGUCCUAUCCUUGGGUUUACUCGGUGCUAACCUCUACUCCUAUCUGGAGGGAUUGGACUUGAAUAACUGACUGCGCAUAAAUUAAUCUUACUGAAUUCUGUUGACUGGAGGAAUGUUACUGAUAUCUAACAACUGACUAAAAUCAUGAGGUUUUCCUGAGUCAUAUGACUGACUGAAGUCUAUGGAAUCAUAGCUUGAGUUCGGAUAUCGUGAAACAUGACAUGUAUCUAGGCACACAACUAUACUUUUUGGUUACAAGUACCUCUAGGACUCGAUGGAAGGAAACUGACACACAUGACUGACUUGAUCAUAAGAGUAGAGUCCAUAAUUUAUAAUAUCAUAAGUAGGGAUCUCAUACUAUGAAUGGUUAUCAACAAUGUAUUGCAUGGAAAGGAUUUCAUAUCACAUGGAAGUACUUGCACAAUCUUAAUAUCAAUGUUCAUUGAAUAAUCAUAUUGGCAACACAUACCAAUAGCAUGGAAGUUCAUAUGGAUUGCAUGGUUAUCAUACAUCUUGUUCAUAAGUAGGAUUUGCAAGUAAACAUAGCAUAAUCUCAUAUGAAUAGUUCAUGAGUAUUCCAAUGACAUUUACAAGGUACAUUAACAGCAUAGAAGUCAUUGGAACAUAAGGGCAUAUCACGAAUCCUUCACUUAGUCACAAUUUAGCUAUAUUGCAUGAUUUCUAGUUCCUUAGGCAUUUUAUCAAACACCUUACAUGCACAUCUUAAGCAUAGGUGAAUUCAUCAAAUUAUACAUAAUGAACAACCAAAUUUACAUGUUUCCAAAUCAUAUGAUAUCAUGAAUUCACAANNNNNNNNNNNNNNNNNNNNNNNNNNNNNNNNNNNNNNNNNNNNNNNNNNNNNNNNNNNNNNNNNNNNNNNNNNNNNNNNNNNNNNNNNNNNNNNNNNNNNNNNNNNNNNNNNNNNNNNNNNNNNNNNNNNNNNNNNNNNNNNNNNNNNNNNNNNNNNNNNNNNNNNNNNNNNNNNNNNNNNNNNNNNNNNNNNNNNNNNNNNNNNNNNNNNNNNNNNNNNNNNNNNNNNNNNNNNNNNNNNNNNNNNNNNNNNNNNNNNNNNNNNNNNNNNNNNNNNNNNNNNNNNNNNNNNNNNNNNNNNNNNNNNNNNNNNNNNNNNNNNNNNNNNNNNNNNNNNNNNNNNNNNNNNNNNNNNNNNNNNNNNNNNNNNNNNNNNNNNNNNGAUUGGGUUGGGCGGCGCCUAACCAAUCGCCUAUGCUUGGGUUAGGCGGCGCCUAAACAAUCGCCUAUGCUUACUGUCUUUUACGAAAAUGGGCAUAACUUUUCGCUCGGGUAUUGGAAUAAGGCGAAAUUGGUAUCGUUGGAAAGCUGAUUUGAUUCUCUACAAUUUAGUGGGUCUAAAUCAUCAAAAAUACCAAAUUAGCAUUGAUUUAUACUCGUUAUAAGAUGAACCUUGCAAAAUUGAACACUAACACUUGAUGGAUUCAAAAACUCUUAGCUUGUAUUACCUUAAGUGACUCAUAUGAACAUGCUUAAUGCAUCAUAAGCUAUCCUAUCACUAGGAUAUUUAUUGUAAGUCAUGUACUCAAGUAUGAAUCACAGGAUAGGAGAUUUCAUACGUAGGAAUACUUAUUUAUUUCAUAGCUUAGAAACAUGCAGGGUAUUAUAAUAUCUCCCCCUUGGGAACAUUCGUCCUCAAAUGAGAAUUUACUGAGAAGGGAUACAAGACAAUAUAACCUAAACUGAACAUGAAAAACUGAAACUCGUUCUCAUGACUGACAUACUAAACAUACUGAACUCACGUAUAUCUGAUGCACGGAUAACUAACACAUGAAUGCAUGACUGAGUAUGAAAUGGUUAAUAGGUACCAAGUUUAUACUAGAAACAUGAAUAUGAACUGAAUAAGAUUAAGGAGAACCGUUACCUUAAGCUUGAUCUAAAUUGGCGGGGAAGAGGUGAGGAUACUUGGUGUGCAUAUCUACUUCUGCUUCCCUAGCUCCCUCAUGAGACUGAUUUUGCCAAAGAACCUUAACUAGAGGGACUUUUUUGUUCCUCAAUCUACGAGUCUGAUAAUCUAAGAUUUGGACUAGAAUCUCUUUAUAAGAGAGGCUGUUCUAAAUGUCGAUGCUCUAAAUAGGGACAACAACUGCUGGGUCACCUAUGCACUUCUUUAGCAAAGAGACAUGGAAGACUGGAUGGACUAAGGCUAGAUCUGAAGGCAACUCAAGCUCAUAAGCUACCUUGUCGAAGCGAUAAAGAAUUCUGAUGGGACUGAUAUACCGGGGACUGAGUUUCCCUUUCUUGCUGAACCUCUUCACUCCCUUCAUGGGAGAGAUCUUAAGAUAGACAUAGUCAUUGACCUUAAACUCGAGAUCCUUUCUACGAACAUCUGCAUAGGACUUCUGUCGGCUCUGAGCAGCCCAGAGUCUCUCUCUGAUCAACUGAACUUUCUCUAAGGCGUCGAGUGCUAAGUCAGGACCUAUGAUUAAGGCCUCACUAACUUCAAACCAACCAAUCAGAUAUCAUCAUAUCCUACCAUAGAGAGCUUCGAAUGGAGCCAUCUGAAUACUAGAAUGAUAGCUAUUAUUGUAUGCAAACUCAACCAAAGGCAAGUGGUCGUCCCAACUUCCCUUAAAGUCAAUUGCACAUGCCCUUAGUAUAUCUUCAAGAGUCUGAAUGGUCCUCUCUGCUUGACCAUCUGUCUGAGGAUAAAAUGUUGUGCUGAGAUAGACUUGGGUACCGAGACCCUUUUGGAAUGCUUUCCAAAAGUGAAAAGUGAACUGGGUACCUCUAUUUGAGAUAAUAGAUAGUGGAACACCGUGUAACCUGACUAACUCCCUGAUAUAGAGUUUGGCAUAAUCCUCAGCGGAAUAAGGAGUACGAACAGGAAAGAAAUAAGCUGACUUGGUUAUUCUAUCUAUAAUGACCCAGACUGAAUCAUGCUGAUGAUGAGUUCUAGGCAAACCCGUCACGAAGUACAUGUUAACUUCUUCCCACUUCCAAGUAGGAAAGGUGAACUCUUGCAUAGAACCACUAGGUUUCUAAUGCUCUAUCUUAACCUACUGACAUAUAGAGCACUUAGCCACAAACUCUGCAUUAGAUCUCCUGUAUGUCGCGGUACAUCUUAGUGGCCCCUGGAUGAAUAGAGUAUCACACACCAUGUGCUUUUGGAAGAAUUAGCUGCCUCAAUUCAUCUACACCUAAAACAUAUAGAUGACCCUGACAACGAAGAACACCAUCUCCCCCUUGGGAGAAAACCUCGACUUUCUAAUUCUGAACUGACUCUUUGAGCUUGACAAGGCUAGGAGCCCUGUCUUGUUUCUCUUUCACCUCGAAAACUAGAGAUGACUCUGAACUACUAUGAACACAUACACCACUCUCUGAAGAGUCGACUAAGCAAAUGCCUAGUCUAGCAAGCUGAUGGAUCUCCUGAGCCAUCUUUUUCUUACUAUCCUCAAUGUGAGAAAUACUACCCAUGGAGAGUCAACUGAGAGCAUCGACCACAACAUUGGACUUGCCCGGAUGAUAAAGAAAACUCAUGUCAUAAUCCUUUAGGAGCUCUAACCACCUUCUUUGUUAAAGAUUGAGAUCUUUCUAGGAAAAGACAUAUUGGAGGCUUUUAUGGUCUGUGAAGACAUCUACAUGAACUCCAUAGAGAUAAUGCAUCCAAAUCAUCAAGGCAAAAACUACCGCUGCUAAAUCAUGAUCAUGAGUAGGAUAAUUCUUCUCAUGUGGAUUUAACUGUCUGGAGGCGUAGGCUAUGACCUUACCAUGCUGCAUGAGGACACGACCUAAACCCACUCUGGAUGCAUCACAAUAGACUACAAAACCAUCUGAACCAUCUAGAAUAGCUAGAACUUAAGCGGAGGUGAGUCGAGUCUUCAACUCUUAAAAGCUCUUCUCACAUGAAUCUGACCAUUGAAACUUAAUCUUCUUCUGAGUCAAUAUGGACAUGGGAGAUACAAUAGAAGAAAAUCCCUCGACAAACCGUCUGUAAUAGCCAGCCAAACCCAAGAAACUCCUAAUAUCUGAUGGAGAUACUAGUCUGGGCCAGUUUCUUACUGCCUCAGUUUUUUGAGGAUCUACUCUAAUGCCAUCACCAUAAACAAUAUGGCCAAGGAAUGCUACUGAUCGUAGCCAAAAUUCGCACUUGCUGAACUUAGCGAAUAACUGGUGAUCCCUGAGAGUCUGAAGAACAAUCCUGAGAUGAUCUGCAUGAUCAUGCUCUGUGCAAGAAUAGACCAAAAUAUCGUCUAUAAAGACUAUGACAAAUAUGUCCAAGAACUGCUUGAACACACGGUUCAUCAAAUCCAUAAAAUCUGCAGGGGUAUUGGUAAGGCCGAAUGACAUGACAAAAAUUCGAAGUGACCAUAUCGAAAAUAGGGAAAGCUGUCUUCAAAAUAUCACAUUCUCUAACUCUGAGCUGAUAAUAGCCUGAUCUGAGGUCUAUCUUGGAUAAGUAACUGGCAUCCUAAAGUUGGUUGAAUAGAUCAUUAAUCCUGGGAAGAGUAUAUCUGUUCUUGACCGUGACCUUGUUGAGUUGACGAUAAUCAAUACACAUCCUGAGAGAACCGUCUUUCUUGCACAUGAAUAAUACUGGCGCACCCCAUGGGGAAGCGCUGGGUCUGAUAAAUCCCUUAUCUAAGAGAUCCUUCAAUUGAUCUUUCAGUUCCUUGAGUUUUGUUGGUGCCAUUCUGUAUGGUGGAAUAGAAAUAGGUUGAGUAUCCGCAAGAAGGUCUAUGCCGAAGUCUAUUUCCCUUUCGGGAGGAAUGCCUGGAAGAUCUUUGGGAAAGAUAUCUGAGUAUUCAUUAACAACAGGGACUGUUUCGAGGCUGGGAUAUUCAGAACUGGAAUCUUUAACAUGCACGAGAUGAUACACACACCCCUUAGAAAUCAUUUUCCUUGCCCGAAGGUAGGAAACAAAUUGACCCCUAAACGCUGAAAUGCUACCCUUCCACUCUAGGAUGGGCUCAUUCAGGAACUGAAAAUGAACUAUCCUAUUUCUUCAGUCAACUAUGGCAUAGCAGGAAUAAAGCCAAUCCAUGCCGAGAAUGACAUCAAAAUCAGUCAUCUCUAACUCCACUAAAUCUGUUGAUGUGGAUUUCUGAGAUAUCAUAACCGGGCAGUUCCUGUAUACCCAUCGGGCUAUGAUGGUUUUACCCACUGGGGUAGAGACUAAGAAGGGAUCUGCUAGGACUUCAGGAUUGAUUCCGAAACUGCUUGCUAUGUAUGGAGUAACAAAAGACAAAGAUGCACCUGGGUCUUGCAAAGAAUAAACAUGAACAUAGAAAAUCUGUAAUGUACUAGUAACGACAUCAGGAGAAUUUUCCUUAUCCUGUCGGGACUAAAGAGCAUAGAGUCUGUUUGGGCAUUGCCCACUGAUAGCACUAGAAUUGGCACCCUGUUGGUUCGGGCGACUGGACUGAGCUGUAGAAUAAUUUUGCCGACCCUAAAGACUUGACUGUAGACACUCUCUAAUCCUGUGUCCUGGCUUGCCACAACCAAAACAAACAUCAUUAUCGGCUCUACAAAUGCCCUUGUGGUUCUUACCACAAGUCUAACAAAAGGGAUUCAUUCGGGUACUGCUAACACUACCCUGAGAUUUAGAGCCUGGCGCUUUGUUUCGAUUGCCGUCUCUGAACUUUGGCACUGGAGCGCUGGCAGAGGAAGGAGAUGGAAUGGCUGACUUGGACCAAAACUGUGAACGAUUUUCUCCAUCUGACUUGGGGUGAGCAAAGUUGAAAUUACCUGACCUUGCUCUCUUGUUCUGCCUCUCCCUAGUCUUAAACUUCUGCUCUUCUACUUGCUGGGCAUGGGUCAUGAGUCUUGAUAAGGUCAUAUCACCGAUCAACAUCACAGAACUACACUCAUUUACCAUGCUAUCCUUGACCCCUGACACGAACUUGCUUAUCUUUGCUCUAUUGUCUGCAACCACAUAAAGCGCAUACCUGGCUAGCUGAGUAAAUAUGAGAGAAUACUCCCUAACCGUCAUAUUCCCCUGCCUAAGGUUUAUGAACUUAAGAACUUUGGCUUCCCUCAGCUCUUGGGGAAAGAAUCUGUUUAAGAAGGCUGUAACAAAUUCCUCCCACUCAAUAGGGCCUGUAUCAUCUAACCUCUCAGACUUCCACUGUUUGUUCCAAUCAUGAGCAAUAUCCUGUAACAAGUAGGCGGCUAACUCAGCACUCUCAAUAAAAGUAACACCUAUGAUGUCAAUGACCUUCUGGACUUGGUCAAUGAACUCCUGAGAAUCCUCAUCAGACUUAGACCCAUGGAAAGAUGGAGGGUUCAUCCGGGGAAAUCCCGAACCCUAGCUACUUUGGGAGUGGCCACUGGAUUGGCCGGAAUGACUGGUGGCCAUUCAUUCUGUGCAGCCAUGGACUGAGCAAAUGUGGUAAAUGUGGAUCUAAACUCCGCAUGGGAAAUAUAUUCGCCCAAAGGAUCUUUGGGCUGAGGAGCUGGCUGGUUUCUUCUCUUUGGGGCCAUGGUCUGGAAUAAGAGAAGAAUGGAUUAGACUGAGAGUUUAACUUGUGAUUAUGCUCACUAGCAUGACAUGAAUAAUGAAGAAAUGGGACUGUUCCUAAAACAUCUUAUAGCCUCCUGUACAUAAAUGUGGCGCGCAACACACCCAUUUACAAGACUCUACUAGAUGCGGCUUUCAGACUUCAUACGACUCUAUUGAACCUUAGUCUCUGAUACCAAGUUUGUAACACCCCGAUUUGCUAAACCGGAAUGCUACACGGUACUUAUGACCUCGAGGUACCACAAGCUAACCUAUAUCUGAUAUUUAUACCUGUAUACUGCAAAUCAUGAGGUAAUAAUGCGGAAUACAUGGAACUGUAAGGCCAUAAGGUUUAACUGAAUACAAUCAAGUGGGUGAAAAUACCCAAAACAACUCAAUCUAAAAGUUAAAUCUGAACAUAAAUCUAAAAGUAAAUCUGAAAGCCUUUAAAUUGUCUGAAUAAGGAGUUAAAGGAACAUGUCUCCAACUAACUCCAUAAAACUGAACUGAAGAAUAAAUAAAUAAAUUAAAUCAUAUUGUCCUAGAAUCCAUGAGGACUCAGUGUGUCUCUGCGACUGGAAUGCUACUGCUACUGCUGGGCUGGAGCUCGUGUCUCGGAACCUAUGGUGUAACAUGAAAAGAAAGCACCAUAGCGCAAAUGCGUCAGUACAAUUGGAGUACUGAGUAUACGAAGAAGGUAGGCUGAACAUAAAGGGUUUCAUCCAUGAACAACACUGACUGACAAUAUGAACUGGGAGUGCAAACACACAUAUAUAGAAAUUAGACCGUGAAUACGUGAUAGCAUGACCUGUAAGCUAAUACAUGGUUUACUGAUAACUAUCAUGAGUGAUACUAAAACUGAUAACAUGGACGAUUGUAUCUGACAGUCCUGUAUAUACUGAAAUAUGAAGAACGCCCUGAGUUCUUUCACUGAGACUGAUAUUGAAACAGAUAACAUGAACAAAUGUACUUGACAGUCCUGUAUAUACUGAAAUUUGAAGAACGCCCUAAGUUAUUUUACUAAGAUUGAUACUGAAACUGUGGGAAGUAGUGUUUAACCAACAUGCCCCAUGUAUGCCAUUAUGGCUAAGCUAGGGUCGAAUCUCUACUCCAACUGGAGGGGUGUCAAUACCGUGCCACGGGUAAGGACAGUCUGUGAGUGACCCUUAUCUGGAGGUACUCAAUGAGAACGAUGGGAACCCUAAACUGACAGGUUAAGCCACCUCAUCAACCCUAAUCUGGCAGGUUAAGAUGUCUCAACCUACGCUAGCUACGUAGUUCUGAAACACAAGGAUUGCUACUAAGAAUCACACCCUGAACUGGCAGGUGAGUUCCUAUCCUUGGGUUCACUCGGUGCUAACCUAUACUCCCAUCUAGAGGGACUGGACAUGAAUAACUGACUGUGCAUGACUUAAUAUUACUGAAUUUCGUUGACUGGCAGAAUGUUACUGAUAUUUGACAACUGACUAAGAUCAUGAGGGUUUCCUGAGUCACAUGACUGACUGAAGUCUAUGGAAUCAUAGCUUGAGUUUGGAUAUCAUGAAACAUGACAUAGAUCUAGGCACACAGCUAUAGUUUUCAGGUACUAGUACCUCCAGGACUCGAUAGAAGGAAACUGACACACAUGACUGACUUGACAUAAGAGUAGAGUCCAUAAUUUAUAAUACCAUAAGUAGGGAUCUCAUACUAUGCAUGGUUAUCAAUAAUGUAUUGCAUGAAAAGGAUUUCAUAUCACAUGGAAGCACUUGCACAAUCUUAAUAUCAUGUUCAUUGCAUAAUCAUAUUGGCAACACAUACCAAUAGCAUGGAAGUUCAUGUGGAUUGCAUAGUUAUCAUACAUCUUGUUCAUAAGUAGGAUUUGCAAGUAAACAUAGCAUAAUUUCAUAAGAAUAGUUCAUGAGUAUUCCAANNNNNNNNNNNNNNNNNNNNNNNNNNNNNNNNNNNNNNNNNNNNNNNNNNNNNNNNNNNNNNNNNNNNNNNNNNNNNNNNNNNNNNNNNNNNNNNNNNNNNNNNNNNNNNNNNNNNNNNNNNNNNNNNNNNNNNNNNNNNNNNNNNNNNNNNNNNNNNNNNNNNNNNNNNNNNNNNNNNNNNNNNNNNNNNNNNNNNNNNNNNNNNNNNNNNNNNNNNNNNNNNNNNNNNNNNNNNNNNNNNNNNNNNNNNNNNNNNNNNNNNNNNNNNNNNNNNNNNNNNNNNNNNNNNNNNNNNNNNNNNNNNNNNNNNNNNNNNNNNNNNNNNNNNNNNNNNNNNNNNNNNNNNNNAAAAAGAGGAAAAACAAUCAAGCAUCAACAUGGGUAUGAUCAUAUCACCACAAUCAACCAAGCUUUUGUAUUUUAAAGAUUGAUUCUUGAACUCCACGGAUGAAAGAAAUCUGUGGAUGAACACUACGCAUACCUUAGAAGGAAGAUUCUUGAUGAUAUACGGAGGAAUUUCCUUGAAAUCGGAUCUUCAAGCUUAAUUAUGCAACCCUAGUUAUUUUUCUCCUUUAGUUCUCUUGGAUGAUGAGCUUUGAGAUGAAAAUAGGGUUGCAGUAUGUUUAGAAGUUAUAUAUUUUGUAGGGUUAAGUUUAGGGACGUGUAAGGAGUAUUUAAAGACUUAAUUACCUUUAAAAUAACUCAAAGCGGAGUGUUUUUGACACCUGGAAUUGACUUAGGCAGCGCCUAAGUGAUCGCCUAGGAUUGGGUUGGGCGGCGCCUAACCAAUCGCCCAAUCGCCUAUGCUUACUGUAUCUCACAAAAAUAGGCAUAACUUUUCGCUCGGGUAUUGGAUUAAGGUGAAAUUGGUAUUGUUGGAAAGCUAAUUUGAUUCUCUACAAUUUGGUGGGUCUAAAUCAGACAAAAUACCACAUUAACAUCGAGUUAUACUCGUUCUAAGAUGACCCUUUCAAAAUCGAACACUAAAACUUGAUGGAUUCAAAAACUCUUAGCUUGUAUUACUUUAAGUGACUCAUAUGAACUUGCUUAAUGCAUCAUAAGCUAUCCCAUCACUAGGAUAUUCAUUGUAAGUCAUGUACUCAAGUAUGAAUCACAUAAUAGGAGAUUUCAUAUGUAGGAAUACUUAUUCACUUCCUAGCUUAGAAACAUGCGAAGUAUUACAGUUACACUUUUUCAAAAAGAAAAAUCAAAAUCGAAUUACACAAAAUCAAAUUAGAAAACCAAAUGCACAACCUAAUUACUCUCUCUUCACUCUUACUUGUACACUAUUAUAAAAAUAGAUUUUUGCUUCUACUUUUCACUUUUAACUAUGAAGGAAAAGAUAAUUAUUUUAUGAAUAUUAAGCUAUCUAAAUCCAAAUCUAAAUACUCAAAUUACAAACACUAAAAAUAGGAGAAAAUAUCGGAUAUUUAGCAUUACAAAUAUCAGGAUUCUUCUCAAUAUCAAGACGAUUCUUCUCCGUCUUUACAAAUAUCCAAUAUUUGAUAUUUGUAUUUGAUAACAAAUAUCGAUAUUACUAGUUUAUGAGAUUCUUCUUGUUAUUAUAAAUACGAUUCAAGAUUGUAUUUGGCAUUAUAAGAAUAUCUAGCUUAAAAUCUAAUCAUAAAUUAUAACUUCAUUUUAAAAAUUUUAAGAAAAUUAAGACAAAAUUAAAGCUUUAAAGUUGAUUUCGUUGAAAAUUAGAACAUAAAUGAAAACAUCUUACCGAAUGUUUUAAAGAGAAGAGAAAAAGGAAUUUUAAAUAAUUGACAAAUUUAACUACACGUGUUUUUUUAAUUGAUGAUUACAAUAAAGUUUAUAUAGUCAAAUGUCUCAAAUGUGUGACAUCCAUGUUAUCAACUUCCGUGGCUUUUAUGAUUUGUAUGUAUGAAAAAUGGGGAAAAGUCAUCAUUUUCACUUUAAACUAUACUCAAAAAGUCGAAGACAUACCUAAACAACAGAUGAAAUAUAAUACACAAACACGGACAGUCAUAAUCUAUUAACUAGGCAGAGCAAAAAAGUGUCAGAUAGUGUGAUAAAGAUUAUCUUAAAACCCAUUAACAUAAGGGACAAGAACCCCUUUCUAAAUACAAGUUCAUAAUUCACCGUUUUGCCAAUAAGUAUGUUAGGGUAUUAUGCAUAUUAUGAAAUAACUUGUCAUAGGAUUUUUCAACAUUUUUGACAAAGGCGAAGUAGGAGGUUCGAACAGAGACAGCCAGAUCAUCAUUCGAGGAAGAGACUUGGGAUUUAAAAGAGUCCAUGUGAGAGAGCACUUGAGAGAACAACUUAACUCCUAAUUUGAGCCCAUCGAGUGCCGACUGGACCACACUUAUGUCAGAGCUUGUACUUUUCCCAGGGUUAGGAGUUUAGUAAUCGACUCCUAAAUUUGCAUGAAACCUUCCUCAAUGGCUUUAAACUAUUCCUUGAGUUCUUAGAGUUCCUUCAACAAAAAGGUAGAGGGGUUAGAAACAGAUUUACUUACCUUCGGAGGUUCAGCCUUCGGACAGAAAGAUUCCUUCUUACACCAUUCAUCUUCCACUAGGACAUAUCCCAUGCUACUAAAUGUUCUUAAAUCAUAAGUUGCAGCAACUUCUAUAGAAGGAUAAGCAGAGAGAUCGAUGGAGAAGAAUAGGAUUCGAGUGAUGAGCAUCCCUUAUGGCAAACUGGCAGAGGCAUGGACUAACCUUGCACUCUCAAGAAUGUGCUCUUGUAUCCAAGUUGCCCAAUUGAUUUUGAUCUUUUUGACUAGACAGUACAACAUAAAGACGUCACGAUAAGUGUGUUGCUUAGGGAUCCUUUUCACAAAAUUAGAGUGGUGGCAAUAAUAUGGGCCAUUAUGCAAAAUUUAAAACAUAAAGACAAGGGAUCAAAGUUGGUUGACAUGGAUUUAGGGUCAUACAAAAAUUUCAUAGCUUCCUCAAAAUCCACUUUAAAGUCCUCAGGCCAGUUAUUGUUCAUAAAAGGGACCACACCGAAAAACUUAGUAUCAAAAAUAUUUCAAACAGGAAGUUGUUCAUGAUAAUUCUUAUGCCUAGCACAAGAGUCUUGAAUUCACCACUGUCUGGGGAAAUUCAAAGAUUAGCAUAAAAUAUACUGACAGGAUCUUCAUAAACUUGAAGUUCACAGAGGCGAAAAAGCAAGGAUAGAUCUUGAAAUUUUAAAAAGUGACUAACAUUGCAAGAGGUAUCUUUUAAUAGAAUGAUAUUGACGAUAUGACUGGGUACGAUGGAACAAUUUAUGAAGGAGUGGAAUUUUUCUUUGUGAGAGUUUGUCAGAAUUGGUGCAUCUCUUCUUGGGGGAGGGAGUUAGAAGAAUUUGGAUGACAUUUUUUAUGGAGGAGAUAUGGCUGGAAGAAGGUCAUCAUCUCUUGAGAAGAGUGGAUUGAGACAAGGAUUCGUCGAAUGACUUAGAGAGAAAAUAAGAUCAUCGUAAGAGAUUUUAGAUAUGUUAUCCAUGGAUCGAGUCUUUGUCAUAAGAAUGAGAGAAAAUGAGAUUUAAAGGAUGAGACGGAGAAAAGAAAAGCUGAUUAAGAGAACUUAGAAGCAAAAGGGUAAUAUGAGACUCUUCGGAAGGGAUAGAGAGAAGGAAGGUGAAGGGGCAUAAAGUGGAAGAAGACUGAUGAAGGUAAAAAUGCAUGGGGAAGAGAAAAGGAUGGCAGAGGAGGCAUGGAAAACGGUAAAGUUAAUAAUGACUUCCCUUUUGAAAAGACUCCUUUUUGGUAAAAUAGGUACAUGUGGACUAAUUAAAAAGAUUUGUGUCCAAAAAUAUACUCAUAAAUAAUUAAUGCCAAAUUUUUUUCUGGGAAAACUAGAUCUUUCUUUUAGCAACGAUUUAAAAAAAAAAGAUUUUUGGAGUCAAAAAAUUUCACUUUCUCCGUGAUUAUGAAUAAAAUAAUGUUUAAUGCAGAUAUGUUUUGCCCUAGAUGCACAGAACAUUAGAUAAAAUAACAGUACCAGUAUUGUCACACAUUCUGGGAAUAGACUCAAAAGAAAAAAUAAAAUUAAGUAGUUGACGCAUAAUUCAUAGAAUUUAAGUACAGCAAUUCCCAAAGGCUGUGUAUACUACUCCAGUUGUUGGCGAACAAACUAAAGUUUGCUCCUUGCUGAGUUAUGAACUUGAGGCAUCACUCGUGUGAUAAAAACUUUUAUUAGAAUAGCAAAAUUCUCACAUGAAGAUGUUAGAAUAAUCAGGAAUCAUAUUAAAACAUGUACAGUAAGAAGUCUAAAAAAAAUUAUUUUUGAGGACUUAGAAUUGUAUCAAAAUUACCCACUUUGUUGAAAAAAAAUAGGAAAGUACUAAACUUCUCAUGCCAAGCCUUUCGAGCUCGCUUGAGACUAUGGAGUGCUUUAACAGUUUUAAAAAUAUUUAAGGGCAACAACUGAUAAUGAUAAUUCAUAUUGAUUUUGACCUUAUCACAAGGAUAAAUAUUUUAUUGAAGUCGGUACCUUCUUGGAGGGAAUAGCCUUAAGCUAUAUAUAUGUCUUCAUUUCAAUCUCAUUAUUUCAGAUGUGGAAGUCGACUUAGAAGGGGGUAUAGUCGACUCGUCUUAUGAAGGCUCGGAGAUUAUGUGAGCAUCAUCUCUGGAUUGUAAAUCACUCACCUGUUAUUCAUCACCGCAUUGUUAUGGGUUAAACAUCUGUUGGUGGUAUGACAUGUUAUAUGUUAUCUUUUUUUAUUUUUGCCAUUCACCAAAGAGAUAGAUAUUAAUACUAUCAUGUUUGAUGAACCAUUUUUUUGUUUGAGGGAGAUUUCAAACCAGUCAUCACAUGGUGAGUCAACUCUGGUGACAUUGCCUCUAGUGUUAUCACUUUAUUUGAUUUAUCCUUUACCUACAUUCUUCAAAGAAGAGAAUAUUUCUUUCUUUUCGGUCAUGUAUUUUGAUCAUCUUCCAUUAGGAGCCCGUAUUUUCUUUUUAUGGUUUUCGCAGACAUGUUCUUGCAAAAUGAGAAGAUUAAUUCUGCUAAGGUACCCAAGUGGUCUUGGCUCCUUGUGGAUUAGAUGUGCUUCCUUUGGGCUUCUAAACCCAAACACAUUUAGGCUUAUGCCUAUAAUUGUAGGAUUUGUUCUCUCUCUAUCCAUAGAUAAAACAGAUGUGUCCUCAAGAGGAGAAAGAGGUCUUAGCUGAUUUAAACAAUCUUGAUGAGAAACUGGAGUAGUUUUUGAAGGAAUUUGAUCUCAUGAAACUGUUGUUUGGGGAUGUCUUAAAACUGUUUAGCUUUAUUUUUGCAUCAUCAAGCUUUUCAUGAAGUAGGUCAAUUUCAAUUUGACAUGCUUCAAUUUCUAUUUACUAAUUUCAUCGUACCUCUUUGAGUUUUUGUUUAAAUCGUGCUUUACAACUUUUUUCCUCUUGAGAUAGUUUAUUAUAUUUAUCUAUAACUUUUUGAAGCUCGUCGGUUAUCAUAUCCAAGUUGGAUUCAAGAAUAUUAUAGUUAUGACAGUUGUGUUGUCUUACCUUGCUAGAUUCACUUGUUUCCAUGAAGCAUAUAUCGGCAGAUUCUAUUUCAUCUUUGGUUUCAUCCUCAUCACUCCAAGCUCUAAAGUUUUGAUUCUUCCUGGAUGUUUUUCUUCUUAAUUUUGGACAGUUUUAUUUGAAGUGGCCAGACCUUCCACAGUGAUAGCAGCGAUCAUCGUUUCUAGUAGAGUCAUUAUUUUUAGCUCUUUGGGAUCUUUGUUAUCUUUAUAUCAUGAUCAGCCUUACUCCAUGAUUAAUAAGGGCCAUUCCUUCGCUAUUAGCAUAUUCAAAAAUAUUCACUUCUUUGGUUGGAGCAGCAAUAAAGGCUACUGAUUUCUUUUUUUCCUCCUUGUGGUACCUAUUAAUAUAUGUUUUUCAUAUGCAAUAAGGUUACCUCAUAGUUCAUUAUAUGUCAUGUUGUAAAGAUGUCCAUCUUCCAGAAUGGCAGCCUUGGUUUCCCAAAUCUUUGGAAGACUUCGGACCAGCUUCUGUACUUGCAGGCUAUGUGGAUAGAUCAUCCCAGUGAUUUCAGUUCAUAUACGAUCUUUCUAAAUCUGUCAAACAUUGUUUUAAUGUUUUCAUUUUCUUCAAUUUUGAACUGCUCGUAUUCAUUGACCAGGGCAAUAAUUUUUGAAUUCUUGACUUUUGUGGUUCCUUCAUAGCUUACCUCCAAUUUGCCCCAUAUUUGUAGUCUUCCAGGUUGAUAUGCUAUCGUAUUCUUCUCCACUAAUUGCACAAAGAAGCAAACUUGUAGCUCGUGCAUUAGUUUCAAUUACCUCUUGUUGUUCUUUGGUGACCUCAAAGCUUUUGGGAUCUUCUAUGUCAGAACUGCUAGAUUUUUUAUCUUUGUCCUUGGACUUCUCUUUAAGUCCUAGAAUAGACUUUGGACCCCUUCUUGAUAACAACCCAUGCUUGGAAAUCAUUUGAUUAGACAAAGAUUUUGAACCUAUUUUUCCAAUAUGAGUAAUGUUGUCCAUUAAAGUAUGGUGGUCUUGUGAAGAAAUGACCAUCUUGAAGAAGAGCACCUGGGAUUUGAUAACUUGUCAUUUGAUCUUUGCUCACUUAUGGUUAAACAAUGUUAUUGAUGAGACCUUCUCUGAUACCAACUGAAAUUCAAGAGGGAGUGAAUUAAAAUUUUUCUAUGAGUCGACUACUGACUUCUCACAGUCGACUCACCUACAGAUUAGUACACUUCGCAAAAAUAGAUUAGAUUUAAAACAAUUAAGCAAAUUAAAAACAGAACUUAUAGUAAUAAGACAGAGAUUUAUCUUGGUUCGGAACACUAAUGUGCUGCCUACUUUCAGUCCCCUUGUGUUUCAAAGUUUUCUUAGAUCGUUCAAUAUCGGGCUCGAGUACAAUGAUAGGAAACAAGUUUUAAAGACUUAUUUUGCUCUUCAGAUCUUUUGACAUAGUCUUUAUAUAACAACUGUAAAAUAAAAGUUAUAAAGCCUUGUGAGACUAAGAUUGAGACACUUUGAAUUUUCUCCUUGAAGUUGUGUAACACGUGUCUGUCUUCAGUCGUCAUCUUGUAUAGUCUUCGAAUGUUAUUCUUCAUAAGAAAACCCAAGAGAUUUCUUCUCAAUCAAGGAUUUAAAUUGAUUCCUUGAUUUAGGAAUGUAGUCAUUUGAUAUGUCCAUAUAAAGCUUUGGAUCACGUCCAUAUCAGAUAUAUCUAUAAUCUAAUUUCUUUUUUGGCCUUGUAUAGAUUGAUGCUUUUCCAGAUGUGUUUGUGAUCUUUUCUUCCUUUUCUUUAGUAGUUAUUGAUCUAAUUUGUUGAGACUUUUGGGACAUAGAUUCUCCGUGAUUGAGUUGAUUUAUCUAGACUUUUGGGACUGAGAUUCUCCUUCUGUUUGUCCUCAUUCUGAUCUAUUUUCUUUGAUGUCGCUUAUUGUAAGUUGAUGUCCCUCCAUUCCUGGAGCCGACUUUCUUUAUUAGUAAUCUUUAAUGUCCUGCAUUGAUCCACUUGUUAGUUUGUCAUUAUUAAAAUAUAGACUUCAGAGGCUAACAAUAGGGUGAGCUCUUGGAGUCAGAGUUGCCCUUUCUCCUUUUAUUUAUCAAUGUCUAGUCUUUUCUUUCAAGACAGAUUAUAUUGACUAUUCUAGAACUUAUGGUGUAUUGUAAUAGCUCUUCUACUAACUAUACCAUGUCAUGGGAUGGUUUUCUAUGUUAUGGCUACCUUUCGGAAUAAUUUUAUUUCCUUAUUUAUUUAUGAUUUGUAUUGUCUAAUUGGCCCUUCUUAAGGUAUUUUCCACCAAGUAAGCACAUUGCAAUCAAUUCUGAGCUACACUUUGGCUUACUUACUGGGGGACUUUGUAGGUACCAUCAUGACUCAUAAAUCGAGUCAUGACAGGUUCUAUAUUUAAUCAAAUACUGCAUUAUACUUUGUUUAAAUAUGUUAUUUUGGAGAUGUCAUAAGGCUAAGAAAACAGAUGGAAAAUAGUGUAGCGUUCAAGAAAGGUUGAGUCACUGAUGUGUCAUGGACUUAUGGCACUUUCGAAGCUUAAAAUUAUAGAAAUUUGUAAGUGCAAAUAUAUUUAUGUAGAUGUGAUGUGGUUUUGUGAUAUUCAUACGUCAAAUAGGUCCAGAGAAGUAAAGUGCAUCUUUUUACACUUAAGGACAUUAGACGAGUCAUCCUAUGAUUAUAGGAUCUGACCACAAUCAAACCAUGGUUGUAAUGGGUUGAACCAUAGAGAUGGUAUUCAGGUGUUAUUCAAAUGAAAUCAUACCAUAAUCGUAUGUAGAUGCUAUGAUCAUAAGAGUGAUCAUAGGAAGAAGUUUCAGAAAACUUACUUUCAGAUGUUAAGUAUGAGGAGAAUCAAAUGAAAGGAUUCCACUAUCGUACCAUGAUACUAUGAGUUUGUACUGAAUAUCGUGGAAGAAGUGUUUUGAAAAGUGGGAAAUCAAAUAUGGAAGCCACAAGAUGGUUCCACAAUCAUACAAAAAAAAUUAGCUCAUACUAAGUAUCAUACCAAACAAAACCUGAAAGAGGAAAAAGUCAAGUGUCAAUGUAGAAGCACAAAGGAUGAUCAUGGUAUCUAAUCAAUAUCUACCUUCCUUCAUCUAAUGUGCCAACUCAGUAAAUCCAAUUGUGUUUAGGAUAGGUUUUAUGUUUGUCUAUAAGUACUCCUUUUCGGUCUUUUGUUUCAAUUUACAUUCUAUUGAUACUUUUGAGACAUACUGUUGUUCUUUGAAGUAUAAAUAUCAAUUUUGAGGGUUUUAAUUUAUAAGUAAGAUUUGUGUUUUUCAUCUUAUUCUUGUAAGUCCAUAAUUAUGUUUCUUCUCAGAAUUAUUGUUGUGUACUUGCAAUUAUGAGUAGCUAAACACCCCGACUAGGUUUGUGGGAACUAUGAUGAAUUAACAAAGUAGUGUUUGAUUUAUGAAAUUAUUCUAAAAGGGUGUUUGGGCAUGUAUUGUUAUUCUCUUUUGUUUGAUUGCUUUCUUAUAGUCGUAGACAUCAAACCACGCCUUAUCUUUACUCUAGAUGAAAGGAUGAGUAACGGAUGGUAAUAGCGAAUUAGUAAUGAAACUUGGAUAUAUCAACCUCUAUUAAUUAGACUUGAGUUGGUAAAUAGGAUAUACUAAUAUGGGAUCAAUGAUAGGGGUUAGUAAUACAAAACCUAUGAUAUUUUUUUUGAUUGGGGAUAGUCAUCUAAUAGGGGCAUGAAAUCAUUUAGAUAAACAUAGCCUAUCGAUUUGGAAUUUCGAGCACUAUGAGAGAUCACUAAGUAUGAAGAACAUAUAGAGUUACGAUGUUAUUAGGAAACAAAGUCCUAGUAUCUCUCUUAUAUUAAAACAAAUCCAAUGAAAUCAACAGUUGCUACUGUAGGAAUUUUGAUCUACAAAACCCUCUUUUUACUAGAGAUUAUUUAUUGAUCGCUUAGAUAAACACUUAAUAGAGAUUUCAACCUAUUCCUCAUGGAAUCGACCACAACUUAGUUGCAUUUAUAUUUUGCCAAUGAUCAUUUUAUACUUUGUUUAGAGGUAUAAUUUGGGUGACAUUAAAUUUUGGCACCUUUGUUGGGAAUACGAUAACGGAGUUGAUUGAUUAUGUUUUUUAGGUUGUUGGUUUCUGAAUAUUGACUUUAAUUUUUUUAUUUCUAGGGCGCAUACCAGUGCACUUCCAUUACUUGAGCCAAGGCAAUCCCUUGAUUCCACUUGAUAUAGAAAUUAAAAAAAAUAUGAGAGUUAAAAGAAGGAUGGUGAAUGAUGGAGUUCAUAAAACAGGAGUUUUAGAUGAGGAGGUCUUGAAUCUUCCAGGACAUCUUCAUAGGAUUUAAGAGAUUAUAGAGCAGACCACUACUCAAUUGAUAACUAAGGAUAAUGAUAGGCAAGAAGUUUUCAGGCAGGAUGCAAGGGAAAAAGGGGUAGACAUGUUAAAACAGACCAUCAACUUGCACUUAAGGAAUGAGAAAGGUAGAGAAAAAAUAGAGGGAAACAACAUCUAGAGCAUUAUAUUCCUCAACUUGAUGAUGUAGAAGACAAGAUAGACUUUCUAGAGCUGAUUGAAAUAAGUGUGAUUAUUCCAUCAGCAUUGCUAUCAUGAACUAUAUUUGAUAUCACCGGUGCUAUGAUAUAGUUGCUAAACUUAAAGAGGGUGUUCACAGGACUUUCUACCGCUAAUGCAAACCUUUAUGUGAUAAAUUUAUAGGGAUUCGCAAAUUCUAUAAUUUACUUGGGGUUAGACAAGAGGUGAUUAGACUUCAGUUGUUACCUUUUUCGAUGAAGGAAAAGCUAAAUUAUGGUUGACAAAGUUGCCACAUGGAUCGAUCACUACUUGGAAUAAGUUGAGGACUAAGUUCUUAGAGAUAUUUUUCCCACCUUCAAGAAUGUUGCAGUUGAAAGAUAAGAUUAUAACUUCAAGCAGUUACACUUGAAGGUUUUAUAUGAGACAUGCAGACGUUUAAAAAAAAGCUGCAGAAUGUCCCAAAUCAUAGAAUACCAAGCCACAUAUUUCUUGAGAUAUUCUAUAGAGGUAUAAAUACAUAUAAUAAGGAUAUACCAAACGCUAUUACAGAUGGGGCAUUCAUGGGUUACAUUGGAUUAGGCUUAUAAGAUUUUAGACUGGAUCACUAAAACCAAUAGAGGUUGGAAUACUCGUAAUGCAGACAUACCCGUAGUUACUAAUAUUAUAGGGGUAUCUACAAAAUAGAGAGAACUAGAUGACUCUAUCAUCAAAAGAUAGAUCAGUUGAGGAUAGAGCUUAACUUAUUUGCCAAGCAAUUUGCAGCAGUAGGAGCAGAAAGAGUGAUUGUGGUUGGUUCACAAUGUAAGGCAUCGAGGAAUGAUAACUCUAAUUCUGAGGAGGAGGCUAAGUAUUUAGAAAAUAAAAUGGCGGGUUUCUAAGCCAAGGUAUAGGUGUCUAAUUAAGAUAAUUAGAAAUCUGGAAAAAGAAAUCGAGGUCAAAACUACUAUAAUGUUAACAACUAAAUCAGGUCUCUGUGUAGAGAUAGAAGCCGAGAAAGAGAUGGUGAUUGGAGAAGAAAGGACGACUAUAAGGAUAUAAGUGUCCUCUGUGUUCCAUUGGGAAUUGAGACGAUGAUUCAAGCAAUUCGAGGAUGAAAGACAUACUUGCAAAAGUAGUGAAAAUGGUAAAGAAGAUGAAGACUUCUUGAAGGAGCUUAGUGCAGAUACUUUGGGGAUAAGUCAAAAGGUCGAAUCACAUGUUACUGUCCUUAAGCAUCUUAAGCAAUAAUUUGGUCAGAUGUCUAUUGCAUUAAAUCAGCAUUGAUAAUGUGAAGGUUUUAUAUGAGACAUGCAGACGUUUAAAAAAAAGCUGCAGAAUGUCCCAAAUCAUAGAAUACCAAGCCACAUAUUUCUUGAGAUAUUCUAUAGAGGUAUAAAUACAUAUAAUAAGGAUAUACCAAACGCUAUUACAGAUGGGGCAUUCAUGGGUUACAUUGGAUUAGGCUUAUAAGAUUUUAGACUGGAUCACUAAAACCAAUAGAGGUUGGAAUACUCGUAAUGCAGACAUACCCGUAGUUACUAAUAUUAUAGGGGUAUCUACAAAAUAGAGAGAACUAGAUGACUCUAUCAUCAAAAGAUAGAUCAGUUGAGGAUAGAGCUUAACUUAUUUGCCAAGCAAUUUGCAGCAGUAGGAGCAGAAAGAGUGAUUGUGGUUGGUUCACAAUGUAAGGCAUCGAGGAAUGAUAACUCUAAUUCUGAGGAGGAGGCUAAGUAUUUAGAAAAUAAAAUGGCGGGUUUCUAAGCCAAGGUAUAGGUGUCUAAUUAAGAUAAUUAGAAAUCUGGAAAAAGAAAUCGAGGUCAAAACUACUAUAAUGUUAACAACUAAAUCAGGUCUCUGUGUAGAGAUAGAAGCCGAGAAAGAGAUGGUGAUUGGAGAAGAAAGGACGACUAUAAGGAUAUAAGUGUCCUCUGUGUUCCAUUGGGAAUUGAGACGAUGAUUCAAGCAAUUCGAGGAUGAAAGACAUACUUGCAAAAGUAGUGAAAAUGGUAAAGAAGAUGAAGACUUCUUGAAGGAGCUUAGUGCAGAUACUUUGGGGAUAAGUCAAAAGGUCGAAUCACAUGUUACUGUCCUUAAGCAUCUUAAGCAAUAAUUUGGUCAGAUGUCUAUUGCAUUAAAUCAGCAUUGAUAAUGUACAUUUUUGAGAAAUACUAUCGAAAAUCCUAAAAAUGAGGGUCAUUACUUGGAUAUUGCAACUAGGAUUGGUAAAGUGAUAGUUGAUCCAUCUAUGAUUGUGGUUGUUCAGAAUGAGAUCGAGCCAGUGAUUGUAGAUGAUGAGAGACUAGCUGAAUCUUACAGUUUAGUUGUUGAUGAGGAUGCAUUUUAAAAGCCUUUAGUUCCUGAAAAGGAGUCUAAGGCAAAAAGAAAAAAGGAAAAGAGGUCAUAAAAGUAUUGACUCCCAUUCCACGCCUCCUCUUAUUUUUGUAGAAAGACUGAAGAAUAAGUUUUAAGAGGGAAAGUGUCACAAGUUAACUACCAUAUUAAAAUAAUUGUUGAUGAACAUCCCUCUAGUUGAGGCUCUUGAGCAAAUGUUUGGUUAUGCAAAGUUUAUAAAGGAUUUCAUGGCGAAGAAGAGGAAUGUAAGUUUUGAGCUCGUUCAAAAUAUGCAUUAUUGUAGUACAAUCAUUUCCCAGUCUCUAUGGUAUGAAUCCAUGAUCAUAGGGAUGAGUCGUAGGUUUUUUCUAUUUUAAAUUUCACCCAAUACGACCCAACCUAGCUAAAUUCCUAAGUUUUAUUCCUCCGACCCUAUUUUAUCUCUUCUUUUCAAACACACGCAGAUUACUAUACUAGCACGAUUCAUAGUUCAGAAUCAAAGCAACAACUCGAAUUCAUCCUAUUUUUAAUUGAAUUACAGCAAAAAAAAAAGAAAUUAAAGUGGUGCAUACUCUCUCAAACUUAAAAAUUCCAACUCUGAUGCGCUUUCCAAACACUUGUUAUUUCAGACUAAAGUAAGUCUUUCUAAAUUAUUGUGAUUUGAAUAAGCAAAUAGGAAUUAGGGUUACACACACUUGGUUAAAUUUGAAAUUAAGUAUGUAGAGGAGUUGAAGUGCACCAUAGUAAAAAUUGCUUAUUUUUGAACUAGUGUAAAAAGACAAAUGUCGAGAGGUAACAUUGAGUGCCCCUCAUUUUUUCAUUAAGUUCAAAUUGGGUCAAGAUAUUGUGUUUAAAUUGGUUAAGUGUUAGUGAAAACUUCAUGACACAACCUAAAAUUGUCAUUCUUAUGUGCGAUGGUAGGUUGGAUCGUUGUGGGUGUCAGUUUGCAAAGUUGAAGGAAUUCCUAAGAAAACCAUAUACCAUGAUCAUUGUAUCUUGGUACAAUCAUAAAAUAUUGAUAUGACAAACCUCAGCAUAUUUUAACAGGGGCCUCCUAUGAUUGAUAGGACGAUUGUGCUUUCAUAUCAAUGUCGUACCUUAUGUCAUCUGCUUGAAUUACUGAGUACUUGUUUCUGAUGUUUGCUAGGACUAAUCUUUUCACAUAGAGGUACUAUGGAACCAAAGUUGAAUAAAAAAGGUUCGGGGAGGUUAUCCACAAGGAUAUAGAUAAGAAAAGGGCACCAAAAGACAUGUCUUCGACCAUAGAGAGUAAUUUAGAGAAAUCUAGUGGUUCGGAGGUCAGGUACUCCAAAAAUAGUGUUAUUGAACAACAAGAGCCUCGAACCACUAGAUAUAAAUUUUCUAAGGCCAACGCCCAAACAUCUAAAGCAUUGGAGCCUGCAGCUACUCCCAUUGAACUUCCCAGUUUGAAGAGGAAGGCCAAACCUCAAAUCCUAGUAGGGUGAGCUUGUAGCUGUAGAAGGUGAUGUUAAUGUGAGUUUAUCUAAGGCGGAGAAGUCUAUGGAUAGUUCUAGUAGUGCCUUUUCCAAAUCUUCCAAAGGUGUUGCUACUACAAAUCUACCUAAAAAGGGGAAGACCCAAGGCGAUAGAGUGUCCUAAAUCCUGGAAGUAAUAUAUUUAUGGAGAAUCCCUAAACAACAAGGGGAACCAAAAGUGAAGCAUCCAAGAAGGGAUACGCAUGCUACUUGGGGCACUAUAGAGGGAUUUAGAGUUAAAUCGGGAGUUCUAAAAAUAUAUGCUCGGCUGGAUGACUAAGCAGGUGGGAAACUUUAGGGCCUAUUCGGUGAGAGAUUUUUAUGCCAACUAUAUAGUGAGGAUUGAGAGCAUGAAUUUUUAUGAGAAGGAUAAAGAUAUGAAGAAGUAUCCCAUACUUGAUAUGGCGUUAGUGCAAGGGAAUAGAUUGAUAUCUUGUGAAGGCUAAUUCUAAAGCCUUUUUUGGCAAUGAUUUUGAGGUACCAUUUGAGUCUCUGGAGUAUGAUUAUGACACGACCCAAACUAGGGCCUAGUCGUGUCGGGUGCCUCAAGCCCAACCAGGGUUGGAGAGCAUCCCCAAUACCCAACCACAAUCACCCUACACCCAAUGUUUGAUAAUUUUUGAAUGUACAUAUAUAACAUAAAAAAAAUGAAAUAGUCAUAAAUCAAAUACAUUUAAUCGGUCUCUACCCCAAUACCAAUACCAAUACCAAUGCCAAGGCUGACAUCAUUGCCGACAGCGCCCAUACCAACCCAAAGUAGUCCCACAAAGCCUAUAUCUGAAAGUAAAACAAUACUCAGUCGGGAUAUGCCCCCGACUAUAGCCAAAACCAAAGUCUAAGAAAUAACCAAAGUAUGUAGAGAAAUCCAUAACAUGAAAUGGAGCCUUCCGGAGUAUGGAAGCUCACCACUUCAUCCCGACACAAAUUGUCCCCAAAUCCAAUCACUGAGCAGGAGGAGUAGUAUGACCAGUUCCUGCAUCGUGUAGGAAUACAACGCCUGAAGAUUGGUUAGCAGGUGAACGCUAGCAUGUACUCAGGAUAAGGAUAAGAUAAUGUCAAUAUUUAAAACCAAGUAAAUAAUCAUAUACAAUCACAUAAAUGUAUAUAUAUAUAUAUAUAAAAAUCUAUGUCGGGAAAGGGAAUUAGGUUUAGCAUGUAUUUAAAACUUUAACCUAGGUUUGUGUAGCUUUACCAUUAUAAUCUAACCACAGGCUAUAUGGGUCCAGUGUUACCCCCUAACGGGCCCCAGUGUGUGCAGCCGCGUGAACCAGAGAUAUCAUAGGGGUUGGGGAUGCCCGUGUACCCUUCGCCCUCCAUGAUACAUAUAUACAAGUAUAAACUUAGGGGAUUCUCGUGUACCCUACAAAUACAAGGUUGCCAUGACCAACUCUCAUAUCGACAAAUAAUUGUUUCCAGUGUCCAUCCAUCAGACUCACACCUUCAUGGUAAGUCAUCAAACCCACUAUUAUUGCCCAAUUAAAACAAUUAGCACCCAAUAAAACCACUAAUUCCAUCUAUUAUUAACCAAGGCUAUAAGAAGUGGUAUCGUCAUACCGACUAUAACUUACAAGUAAUGUCCUUAGCCAAUCACAUAGAGGAUUUUUAUGUACCCUGUAAGUUUGAUAGACCCAAAUUAUACCUCUCUUAUGAGAGAUAAAAUGCUCAUUGUCAAAUAUAUAAUCCAACUAGGUUGGAGUCGAAUCCCACAGAAAAUAUCAUGUUCACUAAGUAUUGUGGUUGUUACUAGACUGUUGAUCAAAGGUUUCGAAUUAAAGAGGAGUUUUGGUUUAUAAGUUUUAUCUUGUUAUUUGUAACAGAAAAUGUUCCAGUCAGUUAUUCUUAUUGCAAAUAAUAAUUCAAUAAGAGUAGACAACUAGAGUUACGAUUACCAAGAUGUUCAAGCAUCUAAGGUUGUGAAUUAUUAUGAAUUUCCACUUAAUCACUUCAAUUGCAAAAGUUAUUGAAUCCUAUAAUUUACCCAUUUGUCUCUCAACCUAAAUAAAUAGAUUAUCCUUGUCGCACCCCAUUUUUCUUGCGGAAAGAGGGAUUUGACGUGACCACUCUUUUUGGGAUUGUUUUGAGAGAACAAUGUGAAGAGUCGCCACCUAACGAAUUAAGGUGCAUUAGGACAUCGAUCUAGGCCAACUACGAACCUAUUUUUGUUGUUUUGUUUUAGUUCACCAGAAAUUCAGGUAAGGGUUCAAAUUACAUCAAAAAGAAGGUGUUAGGCACCUUUCGAGGUCCACGAAGAUGGUUCCUGGCCGAAUUUGUAUUUUACAUGGGGAUUCUACAUGUUCAAAUAAGAUCGCUUAUUUCAUUAUUAGUUGAUGCUAACUAAGUGAUAAAAUAGUAAAUAAGUAAAACAUGUUAUUUAAUUAUUUCUAAUUAAUAAAUAUCUAUGUGAUUAAAAUCAAUUAAACAUAGGAGAGAAACAAGCAAGAAGAAAGAAAUGACAUGAGAAUAUUAAAUUAAGAAACAUAAACUAUCCUAAAAAAUAUAGUAUUAAUUAAAUUAAUAAAGUAAACUAUUUUCAGUUUGAAUAAAGCUAUUUGAAGAAAAUGUUUGUCGCUUUUAUAUGAAAGAUGUCAUGAUAUUAUUAAUCGCACCCUUUUACCUUGACAACAAUUAUGAUUGGAGGUCGGUCUUAAGUAAAAAUAACAAUAAUACAAUUUUUAAAAGACAAGUGAAAAUUUGAGUACCAAAAUAUAACACAUAAAAAUAUUUAUAUAUGUACAGAUUUACAUAAUCUUCAAAAAAAACUUUGGCAAGUGAUAUUCCUAAGGACGCAUCGGCUUGAUUUUAAAACAUGAGAAUUAGACCUCAUAAUUCUUUUUACUUACCCGCUAACUAUAAGUUAGGAGAUAGUAUUUAUGUAAUUAAUAAUUUUAAAAAGACAUUGUCCAAUUCAAGUUGCAAAAAGAAAGAAAAAAAGAAGUCAACAAUUAAUGUUGUGUUUUAAAAAUGUUUGCACAAACAAAGUAGGAAAAUUUGUUAAUAUGCUGAAAAUGUUAUUUGAAGACUAAAAAUUAACAUAUAAUUGUUGAGAAUGUGAUUUAAAAUGCUAAAAUGUCAUUUGUGAUAUGUCAAAGCUAUGCCAAAAGUAAAUAAAUAUGUUGUAAGCUAAGUUGACAUAUUCAAACGUGAUUUAACAAGGCAAAAUUAAUUAAACUUCUAAAAGUAUGAUUUCUAGGAUAUUAAAAUAAAUCCUAAAUUAGGUUUGCCCAAGUGAUUUGCAUAAUACGUAAAUCACAUAAACCCCGUCCCCCCAAACAGUCCCAUAAAUAUUAUUACAACAUAUCGUUUGUAAAAUAAUCCUCAUGGACCAAUAAUAAAUGAAAUAAAAGAAAAACUAUGAAGAUCUAGAUUGGAUAGCUCUUAACGACUACAUGUCAACUCUGUCUCAUCUAAAUACUCAUUCUUAACCAGUGAUCACAAAGAAAGCACCAAAACACAUUCCGAAUCUAGAAUACCUUUGGCAACACAUAACUAACCUUUGACAUUGUCAAGAUCCUAAGGAUAUCAGGGAUCCCAGGAAGGCUCACGCCAAAGAGGCUCUGUGACAUGCAAAAAAUAUUUUAGAGUCAUGUACAACAAGCAUGCUAAUGGAGAAGAACAGUUAGAAAAAGAAAAUAUGUCUCAACUAAUAUGAAUACCCAAUAAGAGUCACAGAAAUGCAAAAAAAAAAACAAAUAGGAGGUUCAUGUCGUCAAGCAUUUAAAGUAUGCAAAUCCAAGUAAAAAUCAUAACCACAUAGUGUAAAAGAAACUAAUGCAUCAUUGAAGAAAAUUAACCUAUUUACAGCAUAAUAACAAAAGAAGAUUGAAAUUUCAAGAGUAGAUAAGAAGUCGUACGAGCAAACAAGAAUUAGCGAUCUCAAAGUAGAAGCAGCAAACAAAAUAUAGCACUAAGUGUAGUGUAGAAUAUUGUAGAAGUGAGAGUAGGAGUGUAUGAGAAGAGGUCUGACAAUUGAAAGAGAGGAUGUUUAUAUAGCAAAAGAGUAGAGAAAAUAAAAGGAAAGAGAAUAUUUGCAAAUUCAAUCAAAUCAACUAAAAAAAAUAAACUGCUCAUAUUUACCUUAAUAAACAAGUCAAAAUAUUAUUCGAUCUUCAAGAGGCCAUAAAAAUAGGGAUACCAAUGGAUACUUCCCAUGUUAAGAAACAUAAUCACAUCAAAUUAGCACAGAAUAGAUCCAAUUAUAAUAGGGGGUAAACAUCUAUUUGCAUAAAAAAAUCCACAUGCUUAAAAAGCAAAAAUCAUAAUACACCCAAAGAACUACUAUACUACUAUAAUUACGCUAGUAAUCCAAUCAACCGGCUCAAAUUUUCGGAGUCAAAAUUAUGAUAGUAGACAAUGAAAUUGCAUUCCUAAGAUGAAAUCUAGGAUUAACGAAAAAUUCAAAAUUAGUCAUUUUACAUAAAAUAAACUUGAAACCAGAAAAACAGAACAACAAUAUAACCACAAAUUUUAAGUUUAAAGAAAAGAGGAGCAGAAUAGAAUUAUAAUUGCAUGUAAAAAUUAAAUAUGAAAUUCAACCUAGGAUGGGUUCAUAAGAACCCAUCAUUUUUUCGGCGAGAUGUGGUGGCAGUGUCAUGGGAUGCACGGAGACACAACAACGGCGGCUGCAAUGAGAAGGCGGGCUGGUUCAUGGGUAGCCGCUGGUCUGCAUGGCUGUUUUAAGGUCGCCACGGCAGUAAAUGGAGCAUCGGAGCUCCAAUUUGGUGGCUUUUGAUGCGGGUAGUGGCGAUGGUGAGGUCCGACUAUCAUUAACAGUGCUUCAUCAGUCAUCACCUCCGGUGAAGCAGCAAUGAUGGGAGGCAGCGCUGAUCGAAGGUGCGGUGGGAUGGAUGGCUCGCUGGUGAGCUGCCGUUGUUUUAUCCGGCAGUGGAGAUGCGUCGGAUCUGGGCCACUGUGGCACUGGGCCUUCACCGGUGUCGACUGGUGUUGUUGUCCGUUCAACGGCACUUAGCCGUCGGAGAGAAAAAUGGAGCAGAGGGGGUUUGGGCUGUAGGCAGUCGCCGGUGGCUGAUGGAUGGCGGCGGCUGGGGAGUUCUAUAGAGAAGGAGGAGAGAUAGAGAGAGAAAGUGGGGAUGGUGUGCAGUUGAUUUGGUGGAAUG